RNAcentral lists this long non-coding RNA (49209 nucleotides) under Phoenix dactylifera (date palm). Its description in RNAcentral is "long non-coding RNA (PDAC_LNC001319)". Lineage: Eukaryota; Viridiplantae; Streptophyta; Magnoliopsida; Arecales; Arecaceae. The record is from RNAcentral.
AGAUCAAAUAAAGGUCCAAGAACAAAGCAAACAAAAUCACAUCCUCUCCCCUCACUCUACAACUCUGAAUAUAUACACAAGGAAUAGAAAAUAUUAGGAAUAACAAACUUCUCUUUUAAUAUGAUGUGUUAGUUGUAUUCCACAAAGGGACUUUUGCAUUUAAGUAUGCCAAAGGCUCAGAGGCAUGCUUUCAAAGUUGCAGCAACAAAAGAAAAAGUGACGUUAUGAGCCUAGGAGACAGAAGCAACAUGCAUGAAAGUUUUUGGAAGCAAAAAAAAGGCCUGAUUAUGAAACAUCUGGACUUUGCUAAUAUUGGAGGAUUCUCUCAUUCACCAUGAAGUGCUGGAAUUUGGCGAUUCACUAAACUAGUAGAAAUGGAAAAAGUAUCUAUUCAUACUCAAGGUAAUUUUUCAUACAGUUACUUUGCAUCAAGAUUCUGUUAGGAGCACCAAUUUGGUUCAUAAGACUACCGACAUUGGGACAUUCAUAACACAAGUUCUAGAUUUUAAAUUGGAGCACAAAAGCAGCACUAGUUGUUUUAGAGAUAUGUGGGAUAAAAUAUCUGCAUUCUCUAAAGUUACUUUGUGUUUUUUUAAUAAUUGUAGAGCAUAACCGAUUCAAGUACAAUAAAGUGUGAUAGAAAGCUCUGCUUGCGUACCAGGAAGGAAGGAAAGAAUGCCUAGGAAUAAAAAUCCAUAUGCCUGGGACUGAUCACCUGCCAUGUGUCCUGUGAAUACAAAGAAGGAGAGAAAAAGAAGCACUAAUCCCAGGGCAAGGAGAAAGAGUGCAAGGGCAAUUGACUUCCAUGGAAUCUUCUUGUAGGACGUCGGAGCGUAAACAAAUCGAAGAUCUACAUCAUUUUCUUCACUACUACCAUCACCGUCUCUCUCAUCUGCAGCAAGAGGUUGGUAAUGAACAUGGCGUCGGGUUGCCAUAUUGGCCAUCCAACAAACACUUCAGCCCAAAGAUCCAGCCACCGUUCUAUCAAAAUCAAACUGUCCAGUGAAAUCUAUGAGAAAAUUCAGAGGAGAAAAACAAAAUGCUGGUGAAUAUUAAGGAAGACAAUAAUUAUCAAAAAAACAUAUAGGAAGAUAAUGGAAGAGUCACCCAUCAGGCAUGCCCAAAAUUCAUCUAGAACUGCUUCUCACACUAAAUAUCACAGUUAAAAAGCCACUUACAGUAUUAGAAAGUGAAAAUGUAUCUUGACCUAAAAACUUUUGGCAAUAAAUAAUUUAAAAAACAGCAUUGUCAGCCAUUUUAAAUGAAUUCAAGAGUUUAUCUUCACCUAAUGAUUUGCAUUUUAGAACUUAAAAAUCCAUAAGAAGAUAUAAAUCGUGGAAUCAUUGAUUCCUAAGAAAACUAAAGACGAAUCCCAUGGAAGAAACUCAUAAGAAUAAUCAUGAAUAGAAAAUACAAUAAAUAUUAUUCCACUUUCUUCUCGUAAUAUUGACUCCAAAUAGAGACAUAAUUUUCCUUAAGGACAGCUAGUAAAAUUACAUAUCACUAUCCUGUUAUCUUACUUGAGGUUUUAUUUAUACAUUUAUUGAUGAGAAAGUUGGCUUAGUUGCUGAUGCAACUUUUGCCCGCUGGUUGGCAGCUCUCUCCUCUGCACACUAUAGCUAGGGAGAUUUUCCAAGGUUGACCCAAGAUGUUGAUGCUCACACAGUUGUAAGUUGUAACCAUUACUAUAACCAUCCAACAUUCUCUCAACUAUUUGAAACCACUUAUAGAUCCUCAUCAUUAAGAUUCCUAUCUAAGACAGCAUAUGAAGUUAUUUCUAGCUUAUCUAUAUCUUUUCUCACAAGCUCUCAUGCUACCUUAGAUCUUGCCUUCCUUUUUCUACACCUUGAACAUAAAUUAAAAUACCUCUCCUUACUAGGGCCCCUUCAAAUCGGCAUUCUACAAGCAUAUAUCAUUUCAAUCAAUUAUCCAUCACCUUGCCUUUAAUUUUUGCAACACCUCAGCUCCUCCAGUAUACUAAUUUCUCAAUUGAGCCUUCAUAGUUUGAUCACAAAUCUAACCUCGUAUUUCCACUCAGUUGCCUAGCCUUUUUGAACCCUUUCUAUUGCCCAACAUUUUAAGCCAUACAGCAUAGCAAGAAUUAUUGCCAUUCUAUAAGAUUUCCUUGUAUGUUACCUAGGCAUGCAUUUGAUCACAUAAUACCCCGGAAGCAUCUCUGUACUUAAUCUAACAGGGUUCAAUUUACUCUAUUCACUCUGAGAUAUCUCUUAUCCUUCAAUCUUAUUUGGAAUCCUAUCUUUGUCUUUAUUCCCAACAUUAUUUUAUACAUCCAAAAGAAUUUGGAAAAAAAGAUUGACUUUCUUGAGCAGUGAGCUUAUGUAUGAAAUAAUACGAUCAUAGGUCAUCUUCCUGUGCAAAGUUGUGGAGCACUCUUGGGAAGAGUCUAUCCUGUGGCACGGAAGUGCGCAUGAGCGUUGCAGUAGACCCGAGAGGUCGGGUUGCUUGCAGGCACUUAAGGGUGUCGCAUGUGUUCAGUUCGACAGAAUUGCUGGCAAAAGGUGGCUUAAUUUUUGAGACGAGCAUAUGACUACUGGCAGGAUCAAUCAGGUAGCACGUCCAUCAGCGACUCCAGAUCCCCGCCCCAACCAUCCCCCAAUCCAGCGGAGGGAGGACACAGGGGCAAGCCGGACAUUGUCGCAUCAAGGGUCGGCAACUACGGCAAACUAGAAAUCCAUGAUAAGAGAAUCAAAUAAAGCAACUGAUCAUGGAAUCCCACCAUAUAUACCGUCUACAAAGAACAGAAUCAAAUGAAAUCCAGCUAUAUGCAGAACAUUUAGGGCAUCGAAUCAAUUGAAAAUACAUAACAAAUUUCGUUCCACAAAAGAGCUGGACGUCAUUAGCCAACGAAGGAUUCAGAAGAACCGAUAUCCUACAUAGCUGUGAUGAAGGUAAAAAAAAAUUACAAAUUAUAUCCAAAAAGUGGUCUCUUUGCCCCCCCAAGAAAAUGAUGAAUUUAGGAAGUUCAUUCUAAUCCUACCAAAUUCCAUUAAAGGACAGGGAAUAACCAGAAGAGAAUAAACAAUCGAAUGUUGAAAUUUACGUUAGAUAUGCAGCCAACCAAUAUUUUCCUGCCCUCAUAUAAACAAAAAGACGUCUCUUUUUUUCUGAAAAUUAUGAACUUUGGGAGAAAGAAUAGCACUCAAAUAUAAAUUAACAAAACUCUAAUCCAAUUCGAUAACAACAGGGCGGAGAACAAAAGGGAAACGGAGGGGACAAAGAGGUUGAUACCCUUCAGUAACUGGAGCUCUGGAUCCAAAGGAAGUCACUGCUAAGAAGAAGCGGGAUUCAGAAACCGAUCUUCGAACCGCGACGAAGCCUCGAUCCCGGCUAAUUGCCCGAUUGCGGUCGAUGGACAAGAAAGAGCAUGGCGAGCAGAAAGGUCGAAAGAAAGGGACAAAACGCAAACCGACACAACCAUCAAAAUAUCGGCUGGGCUAGGGUUACUACAACUUUGACGCGUUUAUUUAAGGUUUUUUUAUUUAUUUUGUUUGGAAAAUCUGGGUUUCUAAGAUCUUAAUUGUCUUUAUCAUUUAGUGUGUUUAUUAUAAUACUAGUUACAAUGCACGUUCGAAUAUACUUGGCUAUGUAUUACUAAAGAUUUUAGAUAUACAAUGGAUUAUAAAAAGAUUUUAGCACAGAACAAGUAUAAACUAUCUUUCCCAUAAAAUUAUUUAAGAUUUAUUUAAUAUAUUACAUUGUUAAUAGAGAUACAUUAAGUUUUGUUAUGACUAACAAAUUAUUAUAAGCUUUUGCAGGAUAAAUUUAUUAUGCAUAAAACCAUAGGAAUCUUAAUUUAAGAAGAUUUAAUGUUCUUGGACUUGUCAGAGGAUAACAACUAUUAAUUUUUUUAUAGAAUUUUAGCAUGAUUUAGAUCUCAAAUUGAUAGAUCUAAUUAAAGUUAUUAUGAAAAUGGAAAAGUCAGGAAACAUGGCUGCUUUAUAUAGUUUUAAGAUUUAAUGAUUAAAUGAAAUAUUAAAUAUUGAAAAGAAAGAUUUAAAAGUGGCAAACAAUAUAUAAAAUAGUCAAAGCUGACAUUAGAUAUGAUGAUGAGGAGUGAGAUUUUAUAUAUGAUGAUAUGUUGGUGAUUGUCGAACAUCAGUAGAAAUUAAUAUCAAAGUGGAGAAGAAAACCUUGCCUUGUUCAUGGUAGCCUCAGGUUGUGGUACAUUUUUGCUACCCUCAUGCCUAAUGUCACAUAGACUUUCUCAAAUUUAUCCUCUCAGUAAACCUCAAAACCGAGAUAGAGAGCCACCACCCAUUCUACUAGGAGAUUUUGUCCUCAAACUUCAAAGUUAAAAAUAUGUUUCCUUACAUUUCAAUACAAGUAAUAGUUCCAUUAUUUUUAUGAAAUUAGAAAAUCAAGCAUAUAGAACAUCUAAAGAAAUAACUUAAGGAGGCCUUGCUUUUUAGCUGGACAUUGGUUAUUUAGAGUGGUUUGAUUAUCGCAUACCAAUAGGGCAAUAAUAAGACAAAGUUACAUGAGCAAAACGAUAACACCAGUGGAACAAAAAAUAGAUAUUAUAAAAAGAUGUUUAAAGUGAAUGUGAUGUGAAACUACGAACAAAAAUCUAAAAUCAAAUAUAGUUUUCAAAUUAUAUGAUAGGAUAAUGUUUAUAGAAAACCAAUUUGUAAGAGUGCAAUCUCUUUAGUUAACUUUGUUCUACAUGAAAUUUCCAGGUGUAGGCCAGUUGAUUGUAGCCCAGUUGCAGCAUUUGCCUAUGAAAUUUUCCACUGUCAACAGCAGGACUGGGAUUAGGAGCUCUCUUACUCUAGAUGAUCCACUCUUAAUUUCUUUAUACUAUAGAUCAAACUCUAUUUGCUGGAAAUCCAGCUGCAGCUAUCAAAUCAGCCACAGACAAUUUAGUGCACAUACAGAUUGAAAUAUCAGGCACUGAAUUCUGGUAAAUAUAAAGCCAUCACAUAAGAUCUUAAAUAUUACUUCUGAAAUAUCAUCCAAUACAGUAAAUAUGUCCCACUAGUUUAGAAGCUAAUAAAAUAUAAUACAUGUUUUUUUUGUUUGACUAUAAAAUGGCCCUGCUAAAAUUCUGCAAUGCCAGCAGGAUUGCAUAUUGAUACAGUUCCAUCAAACUUGUAUAUCUGCUGUAAUUUAAUUAGAAUAUCUAGAGGUACAAAAUUAGUGAACUGCAUGAUGGUGUUGGCUAAAGUGUAGCAACUCUAAGCUGUGAUUGUCUUCUGCAUAAAUGAUUCGUCCAUCUUGCUGUAUGCAGCAUCAGCAAAGCUACAGACCCAUCAAACUGAAGAUGAUGCACAUCAUUCCGCUGGUAUUUGAAGCAACUCUCGAAUGCCUUCGCUAACCUGAAAGCACACUAUGUUAGGAUGAAAAAGCUAAUUAAAAAUUGGAUAAUACAGAUAGAACCCACCAAAUGUCAUUUAUCAUAAGAUGAAAUGAUGUAAUAAUAUUCAAGAUGCAUUUUGAUCAAUUGAUCAAUAUGAUGAUGAUGGCAUCUUAAAAAUGCUCUAUCAUAUUUCGUUUUUUUUUUUCUUUUAGGCUGGUGACUAGGAUUGCAUAAUCCCUUAACGAAUUGAUGAAAGAGGUUACAAUUUAAGCAUGCCUUGUAGAUGCAAGCAAUGGUCCCACACAAUGUCAACAACAACCUAACACACGAUGACUGACCAAAUUUGGCUGUCAAAUGACAUUGUUUCAUCUUAUCUCAUAUCUAGAAACUCGUCCAUGUUUCUGUGAAGCAGAUAUAUAAAAUCAUCACAAAGUUACCGCUCCCUUGGUUUCAUUAAAUUGGUCUAGAAGUUUCCCAGUGUUCCAAAAUCUGGUUCAUGCGGCUGCUUAUGAACUCACCUAUGCAGAUGCCACAAGGUGGACUACACUGCAUUGGCCCUCAGCCACAUAUCGAGCUGCCAGAUGCCUACAUAGGUCCGAUCAGCUUGCCUAUGCAACUUGAGCACACAUGACUUGUGAUGAUGAUAGAUGGUAAGUCCCUUCAUGAAGAAAAGAUAGGCUCUUAGGUGACCUUUUGAAAAUUGCUAACUUAAAUACCACGUCCCGUUUACUAGCUAGGAACUUUAAACUUAGCUAUAUGUCAUGUUUGUAAAUUCAUUUGCGUUAUUGACCAAACAGAAAUCUGAGCAUAGCUCACAAGGAUAUUUAUUAUUGUUAUUAUUUUUGGUUAACAUAUCAAAAUAUAAUAAAAUAAGAUUUCCAAUAAGUGUAGAAGUGUAUAUUCAAAUUUUCACUCUCUUUUUGAAAUUUUAUUCAUUUAUUUCUGAAUUUUGACUUAUUUUAUCCAGCUCUACAAAUUAUCUUUAUUUUCAAAUAUUUCUAACAUACCUAGAAAUAUUAAAGUUUCCUAUGUCUUCCACCUUAUCAGUUGUCACUAUAAUUUAUAGAGGAAACGCAAUUUGAUUCAGCCUUCAACACUUAAAACCUUUAGUUUGUUUGAACUUUUCUUCUUUUAUGUUAGAGAGAUCAGUUAAUGCAUCACUACUAGUAAUACAAUUUGAAUGUGGGAAUCGUUCGAUAAUCUAUUUUUAAACUGCAAAUUUGCAGAGAAAGUCUGUAUACAUUUAUGGAGAUUGCUGAAGUACCGUAGUAGACUGGCUCAAGGUAGAUCUAACCUAUCCAUGAUGAAGGACAAGAGUAAGGGAUGGAAAAAAGAAUGAGUCAUGACGGUCGUAGCUGUCAGUCGGCAGAUAUGGUCAGAGAAGAGUAGAAGGGUGUUCAUAAAGGAGACUCUGGGAGAUAAUGGAUGUCAUCCAAUGAGCUAAAGGGUUGCCGAGUUCUUGGAGACUGCUGCUUUCUGAGAUAGACGUAGAGGAUGUGAAUUACUUAUUCAGAAACUGAUGGUAAAAUGAGAAGGCCUUCAGCCUUUGGACCUUCUUCUUUUGCUUUAUUUUUUCCCUCUUCAUUUUUCUUCUUUUUUUUCCAUAGUUGUUCUCUUCGUAUCUGUUCUUAAUAAUCUGCAAUAAAAUUCUUGAUGCACUUCGGUGCCUAUUGUUCUCUCAAAAAAAUGACAAUGCAGCUGAAAAGAUUGACUCUUAGCAUGUUACCAAGUUCAAGCAAGACUUUGCAGAUCCUACGGCUCAAAAUUACUGGGGCCAUAUGCUAUAUUUUUGUGCAUGUGUGUGUGUUCGUGUGUGCACGCACAAGCAUAAGAGAGAGAGAGAGAGAGAUAAUAACACACACCAAUUUUAUUUGAGCUUUGAUGUUUGCAAUAAGGUGAGUGUACUCAUCUAUUUGCCUGUCAAAAAUUAAAAAAGGAUGAACAUUAUGCAAAAAUAUAAGAUGAAAAAAUCAGAACAACAUAAACAAGAAAAAUACAAGCAAAAGAAAAUGUCUGAAGCAUUGGAAUGAAAGAAAUAGAAGGUAAAAGGUCUCAUGCAUACAAAUAUGCUACUCUAUUUGGAUCGGUUGGUUUCCAACUCAUUAGCAUUUCUAGGAAGAUAAGAAAUGGAAUGCUACCACAAUCAACACACUAAUCACCUUCUCCAUGAUUCCUCACAAUCACCAACUGAAGAAAGGACAUUGUAGAGUCAACUUAUAAAAUCAGGUAAAUGAGGAUAGAGCCCAGAUUUAAGUUAAACCCCUACAGUAUCUAAUCACCACUAAUUGACAGUUUACCCACCAAAGAGAAAUUGUAGAACAAGUAGUACCAUUCCACCAGCAUAUCUUACAAGCCAAUUACCUGUGGGCUUUCAUCACAGUGGCAUUGCGUAAUUCCAACAUGAAUAGCAUUAUAUGGAGAAAGAUAUCUAUCUGGUAUAUUAUCCUAACCAAUAAGCCUUACCCAUCCAUGGGACCAUUUUUACAGAAAUACAACUUGCAAUAAUCUGUGUUCUUACAAAGACUAAAUUCCCAGAUCCCAAUCCCAUCAUUAACUUCCCUUUUUUUGCCAGGGCAGAAACUGAUACAGAAAGAAGGUGAUAACCAAACUGAGAAGAUGAAAGAAAAUAAAGAACAAUAGGUUAACUAACAAAUUAAAGAUAAAUAAUUGACUGUUGAAAAGAACUUUUCUCAUGCAUUAUUUCAUCAGAAAAUCCACAUUUUAAUCACCGGAGCCUGCAAGCAAUCUCACUCAUGUUUCAGUUUGGCAUGCAUGCACACAUGCAAAUGUCAUGCAAAUCUUGCAAAGUCGCAAAGAAUUAGUUAGAUUGAUAAGCUAUGUCUCUGUUCGAUUCCUAGUUAACUGCUGGUGCAAUGUUAGUAUAUUCCUAGUGGGAGCAUGAGAAGGUUUGGAAGCAGAUCUCUCAAAAAUACACAUUGAAAAGGAAACAUUUAGAAAGAGCAAGUUUCCUGAGACACUUCGAAGUGGGUGGGUCAAUCCAGAAAGAAGCUUUCUGCUACUAAGGUAUAAAUAUGUGCCUGCGUGUGCAUACAGGGGGAACAUGAGCGGUGUAUAGUAAAGAAGGAUGGCUAGUACCUUGCUAGCCUUGCUUCCCUCACUGAAAUGAAGUCCAAUGCUUCCGGCCAAGUGAAUUCCACAUGAAAACCCAAUCCAAUAUCAACACAUAUGUGGCGUGUAUCAGGCCUGCAGGCAUGCACAUAAAGAAAAAAUACCGCCUAAAACAAAAUAAUGAAUAUGAAACUUUAACAGACUACAAAUAUCUAAUGAAAUAUAGAAAAAACAUAUGAAUAAGAAAUUGACUAUGUUUAAGAUAAAGACUGCCAAGUCUGAUACAAGGAGAUUGAACUGAUUUGACGGUAUGAAGUCUGCAGGCUUUUUAUCAAUUCAUACCAAAGCACUGAAAAGUUAAAUAUUAAGGUGAAUUGAAUCUCAAUGUAAAAUAGUCACAACAAAUAAUCAAUAAAUGUGAACAUACGAGCUUAGCAGUACUGAAUCAAAUAGCAUAAUAUCUAGCUCAAAGCAAAGGUAUUCUAACCACCUUUUUUGAUUUCUACUGUAAGGCCCAAGCAAAGAAGCAAUAGCUCUACCCAAGAUCAUGGGCAUAUUGAUUCCCACUUUCCUUCAUCGAUUCCUUCUAAUGCACUAUGCAAAUUAAACAGAACAAAAACAUGUCUUCUAACUAAAUCUAGAAGACAUCAUGUAGGUAGGAUCCAUUAUAUUUGACUAUCCAAAGAUAAAGCCUAUACGUUCAUCAGUAAAAGUACUAUGAGAUUUAACCCAAUAUUAAUAUUUAAUAGUAUUCUAAAGAUACUAAAGAGAAUCUAAUAAGCUCUAUGAUUUAGCUACAGUUGAUUGUUAACCAGUCCCUUUUUUAUUAAUAAAGUUUGAUAUAUUAUACUACAACAGAUUGAAGAUCAUGCAAAGAAAAGAUGAGGCAAAGGUAUCUACAGUUUUCAUGUUCUUACUUAGAGGAUAUACCUUCCAACUUCUCCACCACCACCAACCCCCCCCCCCCCCCAACCCGAAAAAAAAAACAACCUUCCACAUAAACAAACAAACAAAAAAACAAAUUCAUUAGAGACCCCAUAAACAUUAGAAAUUAACACCUCUCCUAUCAUUAAUAUCUUCACUCUAAGUAAUGAAUGAAAAGAACAGAACUCUAAAAUUAGCUUUUUCCCACUGCCCUAGCCCAAGUAAUAACAGAAACUUUACCUUCAACCUUAACAACAUUCCCAGAAAAUGUAAAUUACUUUGUAAGAACCUGAAAUUACCAUAAACUUAGAAAUUGGAGUUAUUUUCUUCCUGUGAAGUUUACAUCUUUCUUUGAAGUUUGAACCAUUUUCUUGACUGGAGUGUACAUAUCUAGAUAUGAUUUCAUUUCUUCGUCCAAACAAGUCCGAAUCUGUAAAAUGCAAAUUUUGAUCAAAUCACACAUCGCAUAAGAAGCUGGUUGACCAUUGGCACCAAAAACAACAAAUAAUUAAGCCAUAUCUAGAUAAGAUGCGCACUAAGGUGCCAAGGUCUCUUCGAGCCUAGGGGCAAUGCAAGACACGCCUUGACGAAGUGAGGCAUCAAAAUAUCAAUAUACAGAUAAUUAUAAUGAAUACAUGUUUUUAAACAUAUUUAACAAAGAAUUAUCCAAUUAUAAACACAACUAAAAAUAAAAAAACAUUGUACAUAAAUUUAAAUAAUUCCUAUUAUAAGAUCUGUCAAUCUAACAAAAAAAAAAAUGUUAAGAAGAAGAAGAAGAAGAAGAAGCAGCAGCAUGGGCAGGGGCGCCCUUGAAGAAGAAUAAGAAGAACAAAGAGAAGGAGGAGGAGGAGAAAGAGGAGAAGGAGAAACAGAUGGACACUCACCUCUCCAUUCCUUUCUUUCUCGCCAGGUUUUCUCUUUUUUCCCCUUUCCUUCCUUUUUAACAAAUCAACAAAUGGGAUCAACAGCUGGAUGUUAAUUUGGAUAGCUAAAACUUUCAAGAUUUGCUUAGAUGCACUUAGCAUGCGCCUGACUACUUGCACCUUGAUAAAAGUGCACGCCUUUAGCACCUUUCUAGCACCAGGUUAAAGGGGCCUCGCCUCAAUAGAAGCAACACACUGGGGUCCUACUUCACUUGUGCCUUGCAUCUAGGGGUGCCUUUUAAAACACAGGACUAAGCAAAAGAGGGGAAAGAGAUCAAGAGAGAGGAGAAGCAAAUGGAAAGGGAGGGAUAUAGUUCAACAAACUCUUCCCCUUGUUAAACAUCUUCGUUCACAAUUGUUGAUGUAGCCCCACAUGAUUUUGUUCAACAAACUCUUGCAUGUGGGGAUCUUCAUAAUCUUUGAAAAUGUGAAGAGAAAGCAAGACUAUUUUUCAAAUAUGACUCUCCCUUAAAGGAAAAAAUUUUAAGGGGUCAAAACAUAAAUCCUCGUGAUCAAUCUUCUAUAUAUUUUCUUGGACUUGAAUGCCUCUAUGUGAUGGAACAUCAUGAUUAGUGAAUUCAUAGGCAUACAUAGAUCAUGCAAUUGUGCGUGUUUCAAGAUAUGGAAAAUGUGAUUGAAGAACCUAGGAGGAGUAAGAGAUGUUAUCACAUAAGUAGGCCUAUGAGAUGAAGCUUUAACUCCAUCAUUCCCAUGGAUCGGUUCUUUGGCCUCUUUCUGAUUUUAACUUUGCAUAGUACGAAACACAACUAUGAUGAUUGAUCAUUUGAGGAAGCAUUAGCUAUCAUGAGUGGUAAUAGCAUAGCUUGAAGUUUCUUAAAACAAUAUUGAAAGUUUCUUGCUUGUUUUUCAAACUGAAUUGCUUGUUUGUUUAAAUCCUUUGUCUAUUUUUUCUUCUAUUCUACGCAAGUAUUGUUCAUAUAGAUGAAGUAAUUUCUCAUGAUGUUGAAGAAGUUCAUCAUGAUCAUUAUUGGUGUGAAGCACGAUUCAAAAAUCACAGUUCUGCUUGAAGAGGAGGAGAUAAAAGAAAGAUGAGAGAUUGAGCUGAAGCUUUGAUUACAUCUGCUGAACUCUAAAACAAGGUUUCAAAUACCAAUACGGACCUCAUACUGGUUUUGUGCCGAAACAAUAUGGUACCAAUUGUACUGCCCUUUUCCAGCAGUAUUUGAAACCUUGCUCUAAAAGACAUCACACAUUAUCUAUAUUUAGUGAAACCUAUAAACACUAAAGGACACGUUGAACAUUAACAACACAUAAUUAUGGUACAAUAACCACCGACAAUUAAUAACUAAUAAAUGUUAUUUUGACUGGACUUUUGAUUGGACUAAUAAAUAGGCUACUCAAAAAUGUGCUGGUCCGAUGCUCUUGCAUCAAACCACAUCCACAAAAGAUGAACAAUAAGCCUUGACACCUCCUUUCAUGUUUUUUUCUUUAAUGGUUUUGACAAGUUAGUCACUUGAUGAUGAAUACGCAACAGCAAACAUGCCUAUGCAAAACAUGAGGCAACUAAAUGGAGAAGCUAAGCGUAUGUUUGGUGUUGUUUCUACUUUAAAAAAGGAGAAAGAAAAGCUACAAGUUAGGUUUUGCAGCUUCUCUUAAGAGUGCUUUUUUUGAUUUCUUCUUGUAGAAGCACCAUUUAGAUGAUAGUACUAGACACUUUCAUGAAGUGCUUUUUUGCUUUAAAAGUCAUAAAAGCACUUUGUUUAAGCAAUACCAGUCACACCCUAAAAGAACACUAGCGACUUACCAAAAGAAUUCAAAACCCAAAUGUCUGCAUCUCUAUCCUCCUUCAAACUUGAAACAUAAUAGUUUAAAUACAAGAUUCAUGUAUUUUGCACUCAAAUCACCUACAUGCCAAGGUAAUGCUCAGAAACAACUAACCCUUCCAAGUACACAUUAUUUUACAUUUCCAAUUCAUCCAGUAGCACAAUACAAAGGCUUACAUUCCACAAUUCAUUUUAUUCUCCCCAUAAAUUCAUUAUUCUGAAACACUGCAAAAAUCCCUUUGAAGGUUUUAAUUGGAUUAUUUAUUCCUUGGGCUUUAGUUCAGCUAUCAAGAUUAUUCGAUAACCAAUGUUCACACUCUUCGGUUUCCUGAACAUCAUAAUACCAACUUCUAAUUUUAAGAAUGCCAUAACUAAAACCUUCUUUUCUCAACUACUCAUAUGUUGUCAUCAAAGAAAUGGCAAUUACCUUCUACUCUUCUUGCUUAAGUCUACCUAGCCAAGCAAAAUUUCAAAUUCACCACACCAAAUUAACUAAGACAAGUUCUUUGUUAGAAAGCUAAUAAGUCAGAAUGUUAGUGCCAAUCAAUACAUUAAUGACGACAAAUGCAAACGAGUGUGUGUGAAUUCCAAUGCAACAGUGGAAAAAUGCAUCUGUCAUACUCAAUGACAGACAAACAACUAACUUACGAUGCCGAGCAACCGUUGACAACUCCACAACAACUGAAGAGAGCAAUAAAAAGAGCAAAAUUUUCAUAAGGACGAAGUCAAGAUCAGAAAUUUACACAUCCGCCUGCAUGUAGACUUCAGACCCAAGAUUCACCAUGGUCCGGAGGGACGUCACCCCAUUCUUCUCCAAAUUCUCAAUGUUCCUCCUGAGAUCUUGGCUAUUAUCUCAUGCCAUUACAUUAGGUCAAGCAAACAAACAAACACGAAUAGCUCGGCAUAUAUAAACACAUCAAUACAGCAGCCAUCCACCAAAAGAGGAGUGAAUGAAGAGUGGAAAAGGAUACAACACCUUCUGCUGCUGGAAGACCUUGUCCCUGAAACCAAGAAGAGAAAGGUUAGAGCUCUUCCUAGAUUGCAGCAAUGGACGCAACGAGGAGGAUUGGACGAGGAGCAGUAGGUACCGCUGGGCAAUGGCUUUGACGAGGUCGGGCUUCAAGCGGCGGUCGACGAACUCCUCAAAUUUCAGGACCUUCUCCUGCCGAAGGCGAGCGUCAUCCAUGGCUUCUCGUCUGCUAACCCUUCGUUUGGAGUCUCUGCAAACAACCCCUGUGCCAGCUAACCUGCCCAUAGAUAUAACAAAGAUAAAGCUUCGUCAGUAUUUGACAUGAGAAAGUCUUCACAUCAGCGAUGGCCCAAGCGCUAGAAGCCAUUCUGGCCUCUGAGAGUCGCCGUCCCUCGAAGCCAAGGGAAUCGAAAAGGCGGAGGCCUGGGCGUGGGCGGGUGCCGGCGGCGGCGCGAGGAAGCAAGGAGGUUGGCGACCGCCGAGGAAGUGGAGGAGGGAGAAGCAAGAGGAGAUCGGAUGGGAGUGAAAGAUACCGGAUCCAGCGCCUUUCACCGUCGUCGCCGGCUCCACCGUCCGCUGCAGCACCGGGAGGACGAAGAGAGGAGGAGACGGAUGGCAGCGGGCCUAGGGGCGGUCCAGGGGUAAGUGGGUAAGUGGGUGAAGAUUUAAGUGCUCCGGAACCAACCCAAAGCUGGCCCAAACCAAUGAGCUCCAGGCCGGCCCGGGCCGAUUUCGAACCCAAGUCAAGAAUAUAUAGAGCCGCGCACAUCAGAGUCUAAACGUGAACCUGACUUGUGCUAUGUACGGCGUGCCUUGCAGGAAAGAGAGAGAUUCUUUUAGAAGAUGCGAUGGUUAUUGGAUGGAUCCUGCAGGCUUCAAGAGGGGUUGGCGAUUACCACCCGCUGCUGAGAAAUAUUAGAAUCAUGAGCCGUGAUAGGUUGGUAAUCCAGGCCAAGCAUAUAUUCAGAGAGGCCAAUGAGGCUACGGAUUGCAUGGUUUCUUUUGUUGCCAACCAUUCGGAGGAUCACUUAUGAGUGGGAGAGGUAGAAUUACCUAGUGCACUCCGGAAUGUUUUGCUUUUUGAUUUUCUUGGUUGUAUCCGUACACGUUGUGUAUGAUAUUUCAAGUUUAGCGGAAAAAAAAGAGAACCUGGCCAUCCCAAUCAGUUAUCAAAUUUUGAAACCAGAACUAAACCCAUCAAUGUUUGGACCAUCCCAAUCCAACCCAACUCGAUCAAUAUUGGAUUCAUUUGGAUUGGUUCUCGGAUUAUCUAAUUUUACAAAAAGCAAAUAAUGCACCGAUUUAUCAAAAAAUAUAUUACAAACUUAUAAAUGACAACAAUUUCCGUAUCCAUCAAGUUAUUCGCAAGAGGGAGUAAUUAUUAUCCUAAUAUAAUCUGAGAACCAAUUAUUAUCCUAAUAUAAAUACUAAAAGGUCAAGAGAGAACUUACAAGAUUAUAUAGUAAAGAAAGGAGAAAAGAGAGUAAUUAUUAUCCUAAUAUUUAUACAAGUAUAAACAAAUAUUUGAAUUAAAUAAAAAUUUACUAUAUAUUAUAUAAGUAUAUGAUAUAUAUUACUAAAAAUUUACUAUAUUUAUAUGAUAUACAAUAUUAUAUGGAUUAGAUUGGGUUGGUUCAGCUUAUUCAACUCAAAUGUGAGGCUGGAAUGGGACCAACUCAAUCCUUUUUAUAUCCCCAACGAUAGUCGGUUUAGUUUGGUUCUCAUGCACUCCUAGCGGCAUAGCUAAAAUUACAAAUCAUAACAUCAUCCACAUAAAAAAGAUACAAUAGAAUUUAUAAGUCUAAACAUCAAAUCCAAUACCUUUUAAGCUAUCUACAUGGAAUUGAGUGUUAAAAAAAUACAUGAACACUAAAGCAGAAUGAUCAAAAUUUUUGUUUAAAUAUUUUGAGAAAAAUUCCAUCAACAUUCUCAUCAACAAGCUCCACAUGAAGCAUAAAGAGCAAUAAGCCACUAGGUUGGGGACAGGACAAAUUUCUUCUUCUUCUUCUUUUUUCUCUUUAUUUUAUUUAUUUAUUUUUUGCUAGAGCGGAUGGAUUCAUACGUGACUACAAUUUUUUUUUUUGCUAGAGCGGAUGAAUGCACCCAAUAAAGUCAGAAAACAAAAUGCUCCAAAGUGCUCAGGAUACCUCACCAUUCCCAGCUCACAGGUAGAGAUGGGCAUCGGGGUCUGCCGGGCCNNNNNNNNNNNNNNNNNNNNNNNNNNNNNNNNNNNNNNNNNNNNNNNNNNNNNNNNNNNNNNNNNNNNNNNNNNNNNNNNNNNNNNNNNNNNNNNNNNNNNNNNNNNNNNNNNNNNNNNNNNNNNNNNNNNNNNNNNNNNNNNNNNNNNNNNNNNNNNNNNNNNNNNNNNNNNNNNNNNNNNNNNNNNNNNNNNNNNNNNNNNNNNNNNNNNNNNNNNNNNNNNNNNNNNNNNNNNNNNNNNNNNNNNNNNNNNNNNNNNNNNNNNNNNNNNNNNNNNNNNNNNNNNNNNNNNNNNNNNNNNNNCUUCUCUCUCUCUCUCUCUCUCUCUCUCUCUUUCUCUCUCUCUGUCUCUCUGUCUCGAUCUCGAAAUUAUUAGAUGGACCAGUCGAGGUCCAGUGGACCAGCUCAAAACUGGGGUGAGAACUCAUCAUGUUAUCCACCGUACACGUGCCCCGGACUUAGGACUGGUCCACUGGACCUGGUCCAUCAAAUACUCUCUCUCCCCCCUUCACCCCCCGCAAACCCCCUCCCCCAAGCCCCCCACCGCCCCCUCCGGGGAGAUCUCGGCCGGAUCUCGCCCAAUCUCGACGCCGCCAGCUGCUACCGGCCAGGAGGCGGAGACGACCGCGGACGAGGACGCUCGGAAGAAUCCCUCUAAGCGUUCGACGAAUUGAUCCGGUUAGGGCACGCCUCCGGGGAGAUCUUCUCUCGCUCCCGGACGCUUUCUUCUCAUCUCUUGUUCCCCUAUCUCUCCUGUAGGUACGCUCCAUUAGUCUCCUCGAAUCUUCUAAUUCUUUUCUUGCCUUGAGCAAAACGUGACAAAAACUUUGAGUACAUCCAGCCAAUGCAAGGAGUAAGCAUUCAGUGGUAGUCAAACAAGGGGAUUGCGUGUUAAGUUUCCCUGUAGGCUGUAGAAUAAAACUAACAAGAGCCACCCAUUGAUAUCCUUAGUAAUUGAUUCUCCCAGCCCUUGAUAAGUGGUUUAGUUGGAGCAAUAGGCUUUAAUUGCGAAUCUAACUAGUCUUUUGGAGUGUAUUACCUACUGAAUUUAUUGAGGAAGGGAAAAUUACAAGAGAAGAAGCAGAAGAAGAAAGAAAAACAAAAAAUUAGAAGAGAGAUGAGAAAAGAAAAGGAAAACAGAGAAGGAAAUGAAACAAAUAAGAAACAAGCACAUCUGCCAAUCACUGGUUCAAUCCCAAGGUGAUGUGCUAGUCUGCAUUAAGCCAUAUCUGGAUGUGAUAUGUUCCUGAGUGCCUGUUCCAUCUUAUUCAGCGAAAUCUCUCCUUAAAUCACAGUUGAUGAGCAAAUAUCCGAAGAUCAGGAAAUUGUAGUUUCCUCCAUUUUUUCGCAAUGAAACCCAAUUAAAAAAUGAUUUACGGCAUCCUUGCCUGUUCCAUUGCCUCCCCCAGCAACAUGUCCAUCAUUUUUUCCAAUCCCUUAAUCUCUGUAGGCUGGCACUUGAUAUCCAAAGAGUAAUGCGUGCGAAGUCCAGAUAUGACUUUAAUAUACCAAAUGAAAUAACUUUCUGUCUGUUUUAGCCACAAGAGAGAUUCAGAAGAGAUACCUGGGCCUUAAAUAUUGCUGGCCAAAACAAGUAGAAUGAAAUUUAUUCCACAGCUGAGGUUCAUGAUUCUAUUUUGGCGACUCAAGAAAACUUGUUUUAUACUGCCUUGUUCAUGCUUCUUACCUUUCUAAUUGCAGUUAUGGACAGCUCUGAAUAUGGUGGCAGAAGUUGUUGGGGCAGUCAUAGGUUAGCUAUUUGUAUGGACAAUGAUGGAGAAGGGGAAGCUGUAUGUGCUAACUCUGAUGGAAAAGAAGUAGACAAACAUGGGGAGUCAUCUGAUGUUCUUAAAUGUGGGGAGGUGUCUAAAGUAUUAUUGGGGCAGGUUGUACAUAGUGAGGAGGAGGCUUAUAGCUUGUGUUGUGACUAUGGGCAUCGCAUGGGUUUUAGUGUGCGAAGAGGAAAGCAGUAUUACUGGUUGGGGACCAAAAAUAUUCGCUCGAAGGACUAUUAUUGCUCAAAAGAAGGGUUUAAGAACGAUGAGUAUCCUAACGAGUCAAGUUAUAGCAAGCUAGAUACAAGAACUGGUUGCAAAGCAAUGAUCCGCUUUAUGGUUGAUGAGGAUGGGCAAUGGAAGGUGACGAAGUUGGUCGAUGAGCAUAAUCAUGACUUGGCCAAGCCUGAAGAAAGGCAUCUGUUGAGAUCCAUGCGGUCACCUACAGGUGCAAAAGCUAGUGUACUAGAUUCAAUGAUGAAUGCUGGAAUUCGAACAAUCAAUACCUAUUCCUAUAUGGUUGAAGAAAGUGAUGGUGCUGAAAAUUUAGCAGGAGAUCUUCAAAGCUUGGUAAGCCAUUUCAAGCGUAGAGCUAAUCAGGAAGGCAUGUUUUAUUGGGAUAUGCAACUUGAUCAAGAGGGUCGGGCUUGCAAUUUUUUUUGGAGGGAUGGUAGAUCAAGAGUUGAUUAUGACUGUUUUGGUGAUGUUGUUGUGUUUAACACUACUUAUCGCACAAAUAGAUAUAAUCGUAUCUGUGUGCCAUUUGUUGGAGUUAAUCAUCAUUGGCAGAAUGUGAUAUUCGGAUGUGCAUUCUUAUUAGAUGAGACGACUGCAUCCUUUAUAUGGCUUUUUAAGUCUUUCUUGAAAUCAAUGGGUGAUCGACCUCCCAAAACAAUUUUUACUGAUCAAAAUCAAGCUAUGACAAAUGCAAUUACAGAGGUAUUUCCCAAUACACGACACCGCCUCUGCUUGUGGCACAUUUACAAGAAUGCUCCCUCUCAUUUGGGUAAUCUCAAUUUUGAUCAGAAUUUUCAUAAAUUGUUUAACAAAUGUUUACAAGGGUGUGAUUCUGAAGAAGAGUUUGAAGAAACAUGGGGCAAGAUGAUUUCUAAGUACAAUGUUCAAGACCAUGAAUGGCUUAAUAAUCUGUACAAGAUCCGUGAGAAGUGGUGUACAGCUCUUAACAAAGACACUUUCGAUGGUGGGAUUAAAUCAUCUCAAAGGAGUGAGUCGACAAACAAUGUUUUGAAUGGAAUAGCCGACAAGUCAACUUCUCUUACAAAGUUUGUAGUUGCAUUUGAGAAAUUGGUUAAUGGUUGGAGAAGAAACGAAUCUGAGGAGGACUUCCGUUGUAAUCAAAGUGCUCCUACCCGUAUUAUUAAGCACAGUGAAAUUUUGAAGCAUGCUUCCAAAACGUUUACGCACAAGAUUUACAAAUUAUUUGAGAAAGAGUAUCUUGAUGGUUGUGGUGCGACAUCAUCAUCCCAAGAAAUUUCACUUGGUGGUACUUUAUACAAAUUUGAGUUGAUGAUGCAAGGAAGGGGUUCAAAAGUUUGGACAGUCAUGUUUGACACAUCUACAUCGGAGGUCAGUUGCAGUUGUAGAAAAUUUGAGACAAUGGGUCUACUUUGCUCACAUGCACUAAAAGCAUUUAGCGUUAAGAAUGUGCAAAGAAUCCCCGAAAAGUAUAUUUUGAAACGGUGGACAAAAGAUGCAAGAAAAAGAGUGUAUAGUUUCAAUGAAGAGGGGUCAUCAAAAAAGAAGUGCACUGAGGUUGAGUUAAUAUAUCAUAAUCAAGCAAUGCGAUAUGCUUAUAACCUUGUCAUGAAAAGCCAAGGACAUGAGGGAGCUAGGAAAAUUCUGUGGGAUACUUUUGAUCUUGCAGAUGCAGAACUUGAUAAAUUCUUUGCUAAGUUAAGCUUGGAUGGCCAUUCAGCAGUCAAAGAUGAUCAAGCAAAUGAUUAUGAUAAGGAGGCUGAAAUGGUUGAUGAUGAUGAUGAUGAUGAUGAAUACCCUGUGUUAGACCCUCCUUAUUUGAGACCUGAAGGAGAAUCCACAGAGAAGCUUAAAGAGCAUUUUGAAAAGCAGAAGAAAUGUUCAUCAAGAAGAGGGAAGAGUAAGUAUCAUUUUUGGUGUAUCAUUUUUUUUCAUGUAGUAAAAGCUAAUAAUUAUGAUUAAUCUGAGAUGUUGACAAAAUUAUAUUUUUUAUGUAGGAAAAGUUAAAGAAGCAGCUGGAUCCUCCUCACAUUUGGAAAAUACUACCAAAGAUGGUAGCCACCGUCUUCGCUGCUUAUUCCCUGCCCCGCCAAGCCAUUUUCCAUUUGCGAACCCAUUUGCACCUUCAAACUUUUAUCAAGUAAGCUUCUUAGUAAUGAGGAAUUCCAGUUUUUAAAUUUUUUUUUUCUGAUGCCUGAAAAUGAAUUUUGCUUGUUUUCUACAAAAAUUGGUCAUAUGUAUAGGUGCAGCCUUCAAGUUUAGGGUCCACAAGUACUUUUUACAUGCAUAGUUAUACAUUACCAAUGCCCUCACAGGUAAUAAUUUUACUUAGAAUGCCAUUGAAAUAAAUAUGAAAGCUACGCAUGCAUCCGAAACUGAUUAUUUGUGCACUUUAUCAGAGUUCUAAAAUUACUUGGGGCAUGGAUGGGUCAAAUAUUCCAUUUACAAGUAUGGUACAUGGUGUUAAUUUUGCAAAUAAUCUGAACCAGGUAGGAGGCCCUGUCAUUAUGCCUUUUUCCCCUUGAUUUUGUCAAAAAGAAUACUUGUCACUUUAAACAAAUUAAUUCGUAGGAGUCGUCAAGCCAUGCACGGAGGCAUAGGUCUGCAAUAAGCCAGCCACCUGCUGUAAAGUCUGCUGCAUCACGGGAGGAGUUGGGUUCUGAACACCAGAGAAGGACAUCAUCUGGAGAGGCAUAAAAACUGAAUACAUGUAGUUGAUUUUUAGUAGUUUCUAAUCAUGUGGAAUUAUGAGUAGGUGCUUAUCAUGUGUAGUUUUGACAUGUAAUUUUUACUACCUCUAUGUAGCACACUCCAGCAAGAAUGGUGUUGUCUGGAUAGUACUUUUCCUCCUGCAUAUUUGGUGAUAGAGAAGUCCGCAUUUGUUCCGUUCACCUUCUCCAGUUUUCUUUGAUUUAUUUCUGAUAGCCGAAUAACUGUAUUUUAUGCUUCAGGUUUGGAGAAAUUCUAAGGAUUUCUCAAGGUACCUUGGCAUUUCUUACAUAACAUGGAUUCUGUAUUUUUGUACCGCUUCUUAUUUUGGUGGCUUGUACCACUUCUUACAUAACAUGGAUUCCUUCGCAGUUACAGGCCUCGAAAGAUCCAAUUUAAUACCAAUUCUUGUAAAUAUCGGCAGGGAAGAAGGAGAGACCAUGGUUUUUUGGUGUCUUUUUCUUGGCAGAGCUGGCUGGAGAUGACUCAAGGACUGUGGGGGUCAUUUCUCUGUUUAUAUAAGUGCUGGGUAGAGAGAAUAGAAAUGAGAAUAACGCUAGUUUAUUGAAGAUAGCACUGGGACUGACUUAGAGUGUGAUUCGGACACUAUAUUCCUGUUACUGCGGUACAUAGCCCUUUCCUCUUCUUCUUUCAACUGCUUCAAAUUUGUUUCUAUGAUUGGUUAGGUACAGUGCAUCAAUACAAACAGAGAAGGAAUUUCCCUGAAAGCCAGCAUUGCCCACGGUCAAGUUUCAGGUAUUUUUUUGCAAACCUUGGAGCUUUAAGUUGAACCUAGAAAGGCAGGUUAGAGAGCGAGAAGGAACCUAAAAUAUUGGGGUACGGAUUUGGGCUGGUCACCACCUACAUGAUUUCAUGAGGUCUAGGAUUCUCAGCUUGAUCUGGAUGCCCUAACAUAACUGGUACAUGUACCUCCUGCAUUGUGUGCGAAAAAUCUGAGUCAAAAUAAGAACAUAUUCAUGUAUAUUAGCAUGUAUGAUGUUGCUGAUGGCUACAUUAUUGUAAUCACCGAGUUUAAGGAGGCUUUGGAAGAUCACUGCAACUUGGUAGGACUGAAGAUUUAAUUGUGAACUAAAACUAUAUUGCUAGAUUCAAUCACCAUGAUGCAUAGAACAAAAGAGUUGAGGUUAAGAUAUGUCUGAAUCCAGUAUAUGUAGAUUUUUCUCUAUAAGAUAUGAUUGUAAGCUAGUCUUAAAAUUUAAUAAUGUUCAUCUUUCGCAAUGGUCCAACCUUAAUAUGCAAUAUCUUAUGAUUUGAGUCCUACAAUUCAGAUUUUAUAAAAUCUGAGUUGUUGCUAGAUCACGCAAAUUCUAACGUAGAUUUUUUUUGUUGCCUCUGUCAAUAAAUCUUAUCUUCUCUAAAUUCUAAAAAUUUAUGAUUAUUUAUGGAGGGGGUGGAAGCCUAGUUCUGGAAAAAACAAAGCGAAGCCUAGUUGAAAAGAGGGUGGGAUCAGAUUCAAGUCUUUUAAAUCAAGACAGGUGACUUUGCCAACUUAGCAGUUGGCAUUUCUACCUAACCCUUGAAGACAUUAAAAAAAAAAAUAAUCAUUUGAUGAAUAUGGAAAUCAAGUAACCCUCAAGAUAUUUUAUUUCCAUUUAUCUUUCAUUUAUUAUAAGAAUAGCUUUCCUUCUUUUACUUUUAAUUUUCAUGUUUGUGUUUUGUUGUUUUUUUUUUUUUGACUUAUUAGAAAAGAAUGCUGACCCUUAGCAAAUAGAAGACUAACCCUUAGCAACAAUAGUUGCUUUCUUCGUGUUUCACUGCUGAUGCAAACUGAGUGAUGUUUUUCUUGAAAAGUUUUUUCUAUCGAUGUCAUUAUAGGCAUGCUUGGAUAUAGAAAUCGAAGAAAGAAAUUCAAGAAGAUAGAAAGGAAAAACCAAAGAGAAGGUUAUCCUCUUCGGUGUCCGUUAUGCUAGAGGGAUGUUUCCUGCGGUAUAUGAUAUUCCAACUCGAUGUGUAACGGCAGGCAUGCGGUUACAUAUCAAGUUUCUUUUGUGGUGUGCUGUGUAUAUAUCCUGCAAGAGAUAUCACUUAGGUAAGAUUGUCUAAGUGCCUAAGCAUGCUCUUAUCUUUCAUUUUGGAACUAAAACACUUGCUAGAAUCAAAAAGAUCAAAGACUUAGUUUGGAUAUUACUAAAGAACUGGACUGAAUUAUGUAAGAAUUGGGUCCCUUCGUCCAUCUAGCUUAUAUUUUCUUAAGAGCCUAUCCAAACUCAACUCAGAUCUUACCUAUUUGGCUAUAGAGGGAAAAAAAAAUGGAAGUCGAUUUGAGCUGAAUGGUGUUUGGUUGAUACAGAACUAUGCUCAAAUGGAUGGCCCAAUCUAUAAAUCCGAUAGAAUUUUCAGCCUAGAAAUAUCAGCUCAAAUUGUAAAAGGUAAGGAAUAUCUUUUCUUCCGAGAACCAAAAAAUAGAGAAUUUUCUGUGAUCUCAAUGUCUAUCUGCCAUGAUAAUCUUUCCUAAAAACUCCUCCUGUUUUUUUCUCAUGAAAUUAUUAAAAAAAAACAAGCAAGAAAGAAGAAAUAUGAGGAAAAGAAAUCCUUGUUGAAAAUUUUGCUAAAAUUCUAUAUUAAGAAUAAUCUAUAUAUUUUAGAAAAUGAAUCAGCUGUCCCACUAAGGUAAUGGCUUCUUUCACAUGAUCAAGCAAUGAGAGGAAAUGAUUACAUUACAACAAAACUGGAGGUUUAAAUAACAAGAAAGUGACUGCACCUGUUCAAUUUGGAAACAUGGAUGGAAAAAAAUUUCAUUUGGAUUAAAGAACAAUUGUACAUUGAAACAGUAUAAGGGUACCAACUGAUACGUACCACCAAGAUGUAUGCUGCUUUAUUUUUUGGGAAAAAAAAGAAGAAAGAAGACAAAAAAAUCACGGCAGUAAAUGGUGCAACCAAUCCAACCGCUUCAUCAAUCUGCCAAAUCAUGGUCCCGAUUCCAUUUUGGGUUGGGCGCGCUUACAGAGUGGGUGUAUAGCUUUUUGGAGCUAAAUGACUGAGAGAUCAAGCUCCGAGCCCUAGCCCUCUUGAUCUCAUGCGCGCAGUAGAACUGCCCGUCGUCGUCUUGCCCCUCCUCUGACCACCCCACCUCGACACCGGCGACCUAGACCUAGAGGUCGAUGUCGGUGAGGGCGAGGUUGCAGAGAACAGUGCCAACGAGGCAGGAGCGGCUCAAUACAUUUGGGGGCCUAAGACGAAUUCAUUAAGAAGGAUCUUUUUUUUCUUUCCUUUUUGUCUUUAAAGUCUUUUCUAUAGUGGACCGGCCUAAGAUGAACUCGCUAAAAGUGUCUUGUUUUUUUUUUCUGUUUUGUCUUUGAGGCUUUCUUUGCGGUGGGCCUUCUUUGGGCCGGAGCCUAAGGGGACCGUAUAGGAGACCUUUCCUCUUCUUUGUAUACUUUACUUUCUCAUUUGGCUGGAUGUACUUAAGUUAGAGCUAUAUAAAAUGCCGCAUUUACCAUAUUUUAAAAAAAAAAAAUAGCAAGGAUGCGGAACCCGAGGAAGAAGGUAAGGUACUGUUCGACGUACCUCUUCUUGGGGUUGUGGUGCAAGAUUUUUUAAUAAAAGAAUGCGGGUUGCCAUUGAUGGCAUAUUUCGUAUUAUUUACAAAAAACAGGUUGAAAGUGAUUAAAAUCUGUUAGCCGCUAGGGUUUCUACUGGUGUGACUUUUUGGAGAGAAGCGGCCUCUGGCUAUCCUCGGACUAAAUGAUAUGGGCUUAUUGGAGGAUUAAAAAGUACAUAUUUAUAUUCAUUAUCUUUAAAUCAAUAAAUAAUAUAUUUGUGGUGUACCGUGUACGUUUUAAUUGCCAGUAUGAUGAUCCAAUAUAUUUUUUUUUUGAUGUAAAGGGAGGGUAUGAAAACCCACCUAGGUUUUAUUUAUAGAGAAAUUAUUUACAAUAUCAAAUGUGAAAGCAAAGUUGAUUGUUCUACUCGAGGUGAGGAAGUGAGGUAACCACAUGACAGUAUUUUCCCCUCGCAAGUGAAGUUGGCCUGGAGACCGAAAUGUGAACCAAAAAUGUGAAAUGAGGUUCCUUUGUAUGAUGAUCCAAUAUUCUUGCAUGUAGAACUUGCUCUCGGCUGUUGGUGCCCUUCUUUGCCUUAGAGACUGGGCCGCUCCUUUUAUUCUAAGGCGCUCAUCCAAAAAAAUUAGUUAAAAAUAUUUUUUAACUUAUAUAAAUACUCAAAAUCUUUAUAUAUUUGCUCGAGUCUUCACAUAUUCCUCUUGUUUAACCUAUGAUGUCCUCGUCAGCCUAGGAAUCGAAAUCCAUUCAAAUCUAAUAAAAAAUACCACGAUCGGCCUAUGAUCAACCUCAACGAGCCAUGUUGUAGUGUCUUCAAGUCCGCAUAGAUUAUAGGUCAAAUCAACUCUAAUUGUCACGAUCCAAAAUAUGGAAUAUAACACGACCAUGCUACCGAGGGUACAACUCACGAUCAUAUGAAACCAACAAUCGUAAUUAGCCCAAAAGUCCAUCAUGGCUAAAAUAUAAUAAGAGGAUCCAAUUCUAUUUUCAAUUCAGUAAUAAACUUAGUACUACUGGUUCAAAAUGUUUAAAUCCAAAUAUAAAUACCAAAAGCUAAUAAUCUCAAAAUUCAGAAAGUCAUCAAUUACAAAUUCAAAGUUAAUUAAAGAACUAAAAUUCUGUUACAAAUUGCUAAGCUUGCUAGUGCGAAUUUCAAACACAGACCAUCCUUCAUUUCUAGUGAUCCUAUUCGUCUGGAAAGAGAAAAAAAGUAAAUAGGUAUGUACAUAGCUCAAUAAGAAAAGCUUACACUACCAAUCGAAUAAAACAUAAGUUUUCAUGGGNNNNNNNNNNNNNNNNNNNNNNNNNNNNNNNNNNNNNNNNNNNNNNNNNNNNNNNNNNNNNNNNNNNNNNNNNNNNNNNNNNNNNNNNNNNNNNNNNNNNNNNNNNNNNNNNNNNNNNNNNNNNNNNNNNNNNNNNNNNNNNNNNNNNNNNNNNNNNNNNNNNNNNNNNNNNNNNNNNNNNNNNNNNNNNNNNNNNNNNNNNNNNNNNNNNNNNNNNNNNNNNNNNNNNNNNNNNNNNNNNNNNNNNNNNNNNNNNNNNNNNNNNNNNNNNNNNNNNNNNNNNNNNNNNNNNNNNNNNNNNNNNNNNNNNNNNNNNNNNNNNNNNNNNNNNNNNNNNNNNNNNNNNNNNNNNNNNNNNNNNNNNNNNNNNNNNNNNNNNNNNNNNNNNNNNNNNNNNNNNNNNNNNNNNNNNNNNNNNNNNNNNNNNNNNNNNNNNNNNNNNNNNNNNNNNNNNNNNNNNNNNNNNNNNNNNNNNNNNNNNNNNNNNNNNNNNNNNNNNNNNNNNNNNNNNNNNNNNNNNNNNNNNNNNNNNNNNNNNNNNNNNNNNNNNNNNNNNNNNNNNNNNNNNNNNNNNNNNNNNNNNNNNNNNNNNNNNNNNNNNNNNNNNNNNNNNNNNNNNNNNNNNNNNNNNNNNNNNNNNNNNNNNNNNNNNNNNNNNNNNNNNNNNNNNNNNNNNNNNNNNNNNNNNNNNNNNNNNNNNNNNNNNNNNNNNNNNNNNNNNNNNNNNNNNNNNNNNNNNNNNNNNNNNNNNNNNNNNNNNNNNNNNNNNNNNNNNNNNNNNNNNNNNNNNNNNNNNNNNNNNNNNNNNNNNNNNNNNNNNNNNNNNNNNNNNNNNNNNNNNNNNNNNNNNNNNNNNNNNNNNNNNNNNNNNNNNNNNNNNNNNNNNNNNNNNNNNNNNNNNNNNNNNNNNNNNNNNNNNNNNNNNNNNNNNNNNNNNNNNNNNNNNNNNNNNNNNNNNNNNNNNNNNNNNNNNNNNNNNNNNNNNNNNNNNNNNNNNNNNNNNNNNNNNNNNNNNNNNNNNNNNNNNNNNNNNNNNNNNNNNNNNNNNNNNNNNNNNNNNNNNNNNNNNNNNNNNNNNNNNNNNNNNNNNNNNNNNNNNNNNNNNNNNNNAAUAUAUAUAGUAGGGGGAAAAAAAAGCUGCGAUCUUAUUCUCACACUACACCAAACCACAAGGUGUAGAAGAGGAUGGACAAAGAACUUUGUAAUCAAUGCUUUUCUCCUUGUAAAACAAGGAACUGGAACUUACACACACGGUCAUUCCUUUUCAGCUUUUUUUUCAAUUGGAUAAAACCAAAGUUUGUAUCGGGCCGAGAAGUUUAUUCACUGGCGGAGGAGGAGAGUGCUCAGCAUUGCAUGCUCCACGUACAUCCAUCCUUUCAGGCUUUUUCUCUGACAGCGCGCACAGAGAGAGAGAGAGAGGUCAUUCACGCGAGAAGGUGGCAGUAAGUACCCAAGUAACCGACCAGCAAACCCAGCAGCCUCUCGGCAAGAUAACCGGGUCAAAGAAACAACAAUGGCGUUGUGGCCAUAACAGUGAAUACGGCUUGCCUGCGUUCUGUCCCUCCCCAAAACUUUGAGGUAUGCCGGUACAAAUGCCUUUUCUUCCAACUUCCAUCCUCUUUCCAUUCUUUGUAAACGCAUGUAAUAUAUUAGGCGAGUCUUCUCUCUCAUUCACUCAUCACAAUGCCGCCAGCUUUUCGUUCUUUAUACAAUACACCCACCAAGGAAGUGAAGAAAGAGAGAGAGAGGGAUGGGGAAGGGAGACAAAAUGGACCAAAAGGCAGAGUUAAUGGGAGGGUGGAGCCCUUUGGCCUUUGAGUGGUCACUGUUGGUCUGUUCCCUUGCUCAUCAGAAAAGAUAGCAGGAGGAGAGCAGGAGGGGGCCGGUGUCAGGUGCUGGGCUAGGAACUGCUGUUCUCCUCGCCGGUUGGCCGUGCCUCGACCUACUCUAGUAUUUCUAAGUACUUACUUUUUAAUUCUUGUUAACUUUGCAUUACGUUUGGUACUACGUGGGACAUGAUCAGUGGACAGGUAAUGAUCCGAUGCAAAACAUGAGCUUUUAAGACUUGCUUUAAAAUAAUAUAUAGUGUGCAGGAGAGAGAAUCUUUGUGGCUUCUGACAGUUGAUAUGAUGUGGAGUCCAGAGCUUUGCAUUGCAUUGAAUGGAGAGUUGUUUGGGUUGAGAUAAAAAGACUUCUGCUGCGAAGAGAAGGCAAAACGAGAGGAGAUAAAAAAGGGAAGGGAGAUAGAAAGAGGAAAGAGAGCUGAGCUGGUAAAAAGGAGGUGUGAUGAUUUGGGAGGGGGUUGGAACUUCAAGGUUCAAAGUAUAAAACGAGAAAGAGGAGCUCUGGUGGCAAUAAAGGAAGGAGGGAGGGAAGGAAGGAAAAGGGCUUUAAAGGAGGAGGAGCAUUGGGAGACAAAACGGCAACUCUGGAAUCAAAUGAAAUGUCCUUGUCAUGGAUAUUAAACGUAGAGCAUGAUGAUUCCCGGCACAGGCACCCAGAAAAAUUGAAUAAUAUUCUUGUCCUGCAUUCCAAUGGACUCGUGGUUAUGACGUGACGCAUGUGGUUUGGCUUUAUGCGGUGUUCCAAUAUUAUUAUUAUUUUUUUUGAUAAAAGGUAGUUGUUCCGACAAAUUUGCUGACUCUAACAAUAUUGUACCAAAAUAUUGUUUUCUAUCAUUUCCAAUAAAUUUUCCUCAAAAAUAUUGAAUUUAACUUAAAUAAAACUGAUAAUUUUGUCCCAUUUUAUUACAUUGGCUGAUUAAGAUCUCGUAAUGUAGCUUCAUUCUUCAAGGUUUUCUCACCUUUUAUUGGACAAAGUGAAUGAGUGUAAUUGCACAAAGUGAGAGCCAAUGGGCUCCAACAAGAGCACUGCUUCCAUGCGAUUGCAAGCAUGGAAGAAAAAGAAGAUUGCUUAUGCUUCUAUUGGAGACAAUGAGCUGCAUUAUUCUUUUAGACUUAAUUUAACGUAACACAGGAAAUAGACAAAAUAUAUGACAAGUUUCGGUGAAGAAAAACCUCAACCACACAAGCACUUGACUGUAAUCAGCACUUAAUUUCGUCAAGGCUUGCACCCCCUUACAAUCUUCCAUGGAUUUAAAUUUGGAUGAUAGAAUUCUACUGUUUCAAAGUAAAGCUGCAAAGAAAAGAGAACGCUAGAAUAUUUUAAAGUUCAUCUGGAAGGACUCUAACAGAGUGAACGCAAUAAUUUACACAAUGAUGCCAAAGGUUCAAUGUGCACCAAUGGAACAGUUUCCACUGCUUCAGACGUGAUGGAUCCUCUCAAGGUUGCAAUUCGCUUUUGUCGGGUUCACCACAUGGAUCUGUGGCUUGGUUGAGAUUGAAACGAAAAAGGCUGGAUGACAACAUUUUUUUAUUACUGUAAUGCUUCUAUUGGCGAUGAUCAAAUUAAUAGUUAUUGGAAGGACUCAUUUAAGCUUUCAGCAAUUGCAUUGCAGGCACAAAAUGUAUACUUUGAUUUAGCGAUUUCGAUGAGGCAGAAGGUAUCAUAAUGAAUAAUAAUAAUGAACAAAAUUCUAGACAAAGAGGACUAUAAGCUCAACAGCAAAUCAUAUAUUGUUGUUGUCAUGAAAUAACUGCAGAAACUGAAGUUACUUGGUGUGGUUGAAUAAUUAAUUAUUUCAUACAGUAGUUUAUUUCCAUUAUAUCCAUUUUAGAGAUGAGUGUGGUUCUUCCACUAAUUCUGUUGCUGUUUAGUGAAGAGAUAAUGUCGAUCAUGACAUAAUACGAACAAGAAGAAAAGGAUCGAUCAACCAUAAAUCAUAAUCUCAAUAAUCAUGCUUGAGAGGCUGUAUUUCAGUGUAAGGCUUGUCUAUUGUAAUGGUUUUAAGUGACCCAACAUAUUGGCAAUCAUCUUUCGAUCGUGAAAUGAUCAUAUCAUCAAGCUAGCUUACCCAUGGAAGAAUGUCUGAGGUUCAGAACUUUUUGGGCAGGCAGAAGAAUAGUCGUACUAUAAUGAACUACAUUGAGAAUGAUAGUUCCAAAUGGAUGAUGAUUCCACUGCAUUACAAAAAACAUCUGCAGUUGCAUCAGCCAGUAUAAUGGUGUCCUACAAUUCAUAACUGGUUGCAUGCUUGAACAUUUCACAAACAUAUACAUACAAAUACAAGAUUCCUAUUUAGACCGAGAUGCACAAGUUAACAGGGGGGUAAUUACCUGGUCAGCAUAUAAGAAUAUAGAUGCUCCAGGAAUCAAAAAAACUUCAGUAAGUUCAGCAUGUCAUCUUCUUCUUUUGCGCAUCAAACCGAUGCGAUAGAAAAUUCUGAUUAUGCUGCACUGAUAGAUCAAACAAGAUAUCUUUAAAAAAGCUUGAGAAGCUCUCGAAAUGAACUCUUCUUACCCAAUAUCAGCAGUAGAACAUAAGCUUCUUGACAUUAUCUCGAAGCUUUGGCAGUGGUGCAGUCUGCAGCGGUGCGGCUCUAGACAGUGUAGUUCGGGUACAUGGCAUGGAGUCUGACCUAUCGAGAUACAAUCUGCCUCUAUAUGCUGCAAGGUGAGCAUAGUAUGCAGGAGGCACAAGAGAAACUGGCUUGGUGCAUCUCACAAAUGUGUAGCAGAGACUGUGAAUCAACUUCUGCACUUCGUCGGAUUUGAAAUUGUUCUCAUCCCACAGGAUAUGAUAAUGAGUUGGCCUGCUCGUUCCUUUCAUCCCCCAAUGGCUGCACAGAUAAAAAUCAAAUUCCCUUGGAUGGGUUAUCACGGUAUCAACGACAGUUCCAGGUGGUAUGUUUUCAUCAACAAACUGGCAAGAGGAGGCAUUCUUCUCAUUUAUGAAGAGCCUUGUAUGGUGCCUCUUCUGGACUACUGCGAAGGUGAUGGUGGGCUUGUAAUUGGGGAACUUGGAACAUGCUGCUCUUAUGGCCUGCAACUCUUCCUUCAGCACCUUGUAAAACUGAGUCUCGCUCACGCCAUCUCUGAAGAAAAUAACUCUGCAAGGGAGUUUGCCAACCGUAAGGAAGAACUCCUCAAGUAGCUCGCCUACCAUCUCUUCCAGGUCUUUGAUGAUCUCUUGUCGGUGCGUCUGAGACCUCAUCCUAGAAAUGUACUUGUUUGCUGCAGGCCAAUUCAUGCUGCCAACAACGGCAGCAACAGAUGGGCUGAAGUCAUCGAGCGGGUGCGGGUGCGUGACAUCGGCACCCAUAAAGAUCACCGGCUCAUCGUCUCUGAAUAUCCUGGGAAUUUGGCAGGGUAUAGUGUUAUACAGUACCACGUUGCAGCCCCCAAGCUUUGCAUUGAUUUUAAGAGAUAAAUUGGCCAGGAAUUGUGAGCUGAGCUUGCUGAGAUUGGAAUAUAAACAGCACUGACUCAUCACCCCUAUACCGGUCUCGGCAAUUCUCUUCAAAUCGGCAUAGCCCCUGUGCUUUUUCUCCAUUACGCACAUGAGCAGUUGGAGGUUCCCUGAUGCAGCUUCAUGGAUUCUCUUGAGCUUGGCUUCCAAAGUUGACACAUUAUUCAGCACAUACAUGUGCUCAUAUAGUGGGCUUAGGAUUGUGUUCCUGUUCAAAAAAAUGCCAAGCUGCUGGCACCUAUUAGAGAGCUGGUUUAUGAACCUAGGAAUGAAGGACCGCUGCUCCGGGGUGCCACCGAAGCUUAUCAGAGCCCACCUUCUAAUUUGGGAACCUUCAGCAACAUGGCUGUUCAUCAAGUUCCACUGCCGAUCAUGUCUGUUUGGAGUUAUAUCUCUAACAUGCCCACCAUCACCAAGUUUUAGUUUGGGAGGCUGAAGGACUCUUCCAAAAAGCUGGGUCAUCUCUUUUGAAACUUUGAUCUUGAACUCAUCAGCAUAGCAUCCACUGCAAUGAAACAGUGCAAGUUACAAGUGUUACGAGACGAAGAAAGUAGUAUGCAUGAAAGAAGAAACGCUAAAUUAAUAUGAUUUGGAGUGGAAUUAUUCUAAAAUAAUUUGAAGCUUCUUUACAGUAUAAUUCAGUUACUUGUAUGUAGCAGCUACCUUGUCGGACCAACCGCACCUCCCAUGACACCAUUGAUGAUGUCCUUCCGCUCUCCAGGCCUCUGGCAGCCCAUCUUAAGUAUUCUUGCAGUCUGCUCAUCGGAAAGCUUUCCAAGAAAUUUCUGGCCUUCACAGACAAUGCAGAGCUCCAUUGGCAGAUAACAUGGCUUGCUUCUACUGAUCUGCAAGCACGGAAGGUUUCUGAAUUGAAUGUCAUGGUUGUAGUGAUCCUUGAAAUAAUCCACCAACAUCAGAUCCUUCCCAUCUCUGUCUCUGAACUUGAGGUUCUCCGUUGCUUCAUCGGUCAGGCUAUAAACCCGGUACCUCUGAUCUGUUUCUCUAUGGCAGACAAAGAUCCUAAUGUUCUUCAAGGCCUUCUCAACUUCUUUCUUCUCUUCUCCCACCAAUCCCCUGGUUUUCCUCUGCGAAAGAUCUCGUAAGAAUUCACAGCGUUUCUGUAGGUAAGGAAUGAUGCCUAUGCUUUCAUGAAAAGCUGUCACUGAGAAAUCAACAUUGAGAGAUAGGCCUUGUUGGGUUGGUCUAAGGCUCUGGAAGAACCCUCUCAAUCCCACAGCUCCUCCACCAAUGUCUUUGACUCCUCCCAUGGACUUGGUAUACAAAGACCGGCCCAUAGGAAUGCAGUUCUCCGUUGGGCUCUCGCGCAAGGCAACAUCCAAUGCAUGAAGAUAAUCCUGAGGAAGAGGGACACCAUCACCCUCUUCUUUUAAAUAUCUGUUCAAAUCCUGGCCACUUAAUUUGGAAGCUAGCCUAAUGUUUACCCUGAAGAGCUUAGACUUCUGUUUCUCCACCAAAUUACCACCAUUUUCCGAAUGCAAGGAUUUCGACGAGGGAAUUGGCAGAGUUAUGAAGAACUCAAGCCUAUCACCUCGGAACUCAAUGGGGCUGUAUAAAUUGUUCCGACCAUCGAAGACCGGCAGCGCACCAGAAAGCAUAUCGGAGUGAUCCUGCACCAGCUUCCUCUUGAUCAUCCGGGCAAUUUCCUUGGAUGGACAUGGAGAUAUAUCAACAUUGUAAUGGAAAAUUUUUUGUGAGGGAUCAAAUUGGACAGGAAAAUGGUUGGCAAUAAGGGGAAUAAAGGAGCCCUCGUCGCCGCCAGAAUCCGGCCUUCGGGCCGCCACCGAAGCUUGAGGACUGCCCACAUGUUCUGUGUGGCAACUUAAAGGUUUUCCAUCCGCUGCGGCGCCUUUCUUUCCUGAUAAGGGAUUAGUUUUCUGUUGGAUUACCUCCAUAGCUGCUUAAAAGUUGAACAUUUUGACAGUGUAAGUGAUUAGCAGAAGUUGUAGGAAAAACCUAAGCUACCACCAAGCAAGGAGCCAUUCCAAGGUUGCAAAGAAAAGUACCAUAAAUACUUUGUAGGAUCCUUCCCAUUCACCACCACAAUAAAAAUGUGCAAGGAGGCUCAGUUCAUCUAGAGCAGAGCUAGAAUAUCUUAUAUCACUUAUAUUAGGAUUUAAAGGACCCAAAACAUAAAAAGAACCAACAUCUACAAAUGCAUCUGGGAUAUCCUCAAAAGUAUCAAGAUUUAAGCUUUUUGUUUGCCUUUCAUCCUUCAUCGAUUGCUACCUAAUAAACAACUCAAUAGACAGCCUACAAGCUACAAAGAAUGGAACAAUGCAACACCAAAGCAAUGGAAACAAAAAGGUCUCACCUUUGAUACGAACGUCAAAAAAAAAGAAAAUAAAUGUGUAGAAUGAGUAAAGACCAUUGCAUACCCUGAGGAAUAGGCAGGACUGCGACCUGGGUUUCCAACGAGGCGGCAUGAAGUGGCUUCUUUUUCCACAGAGACUUCUGGCCGUGAGGUUUUGAUUUAGGCGUGUUGCUCUGGAGGAGAGGUGGUGUUGGAGGGAGCUGAAGUAGUAUUGGGGGAGGUAGAGGGAGAGGGAGCGGAAGAAGAGCUGGGUAGGCCUGGUAUCUCCUCUGAUAAUAGUACACAUCAUGGAGUGGGUGCUGACUAGAGUUGGAUAACUCCCUCAGGGUGGUGGGAUGAGACCUCCUCUCCAUUGGUGUCCACUUCCUGCUGGGAUUCUUCCUUCCAUCCUUAGCCUCCUCUUCCAUGGAUUCCUCUCUCUCUCUCUCUCUCUCUCUCUCUCUCUGAGCCUGCUCCUGUGCUAGAAUAUCUAUGAGUUCAUGUCUCUCCCCAGUUUACUUAUGAAGGAGAGCAUGAGGGAAAAAGGUAGAGGGGAUGGGACNNNNNNNNNNNNNNNNNNNNNNNNNNNNNNNNNNNNNNNNNNNNNNNNNNNNNNNNNNNNNNNNNNNNNNNNNNNNNNNNNNNNNNNNNNNNNNNNNNNNNNNNNNNNNNNNNGAGGGAGAGAGAGAGAGAGAGAGAGAGAGAGGAUCCUUGGGUCCAAAAGCUUUGUCUUUCUGCUGUGCUGCUGUCCUGUGUUCUGAAGUUCUAAAUUCUUAAAGUGGGGAUGGUUUAUGACAGCAGUAAAUACCAGGGCAAGAGAGGAGGCUGUGUUGGGAUUUCCAUUAAAGGUUUCCAAGCACUGCAUUGAUCAAAGGGCAGCCCUUUAUUCUAUUUGAAGGGCAUGCAUUUAACACACACAAAUAGCAGUGGCCCCUCUCAUGAUAAAAAGGUAUCUUGGCACAAUCUGGAUGUUUGAAGUCAAAGAAGAGAGAGGAACAGGAGGCUGUGGGGUUGAGGGCGCAUAGUCAGAUGACACCAUGAAGUUUCCUUUUCUCCUAUUCUUCUCCAACCUGCUUCCAAAAGUUAGUUGUGCACCAACCUUCUUCAGGCAUUCUUCACUGAGCUAAAAGUAAAUGCAGCCAUAUGUUAGAAAUGGUUUAAUCUGAAAGCUUGUCUGUGAGAUGUGGAACAUAAUCAUAGCUAUGAAUCCUAACCAGAGUUUGGUAUAUCUACACUUUGGUCUUUGCUUUUUGGUGACCAAAGUUAUUUGCCAUCCAAUGAGUGUUAUACUAUCCUUCUACACCACUUUAGUUUGUUAUUGUUAGCCCUUUUCUCUUUCCUCGGCCUUUGAUCACAAAGUCACUCUAAAACCAUGGGCCUAGGUAUAGACUUACCUCCCCUCAAGAAUAAAUUAUACCCCGCACUCCAUGCGCCACCAAUCACAGCCGUUUAUUUUCGUGGGCUCCAUUCAUCAAAUGCUUAUUUUGGUGCGCUGCUACAGAAAUAAGUGGCUAUGAUAAUCGGUGAUUCAUCGAGCUAUCCUCACAAGUUUAUCCUACCUUUAAAAUUAUUCUUAAUCAUUGCAACUUUUGUACUUUCAUCAUCUGAAAGAAUAAUCAGCAAAUGUACCACCAUCAUUUUUCACAUUUAUCAUCAAUUAUUUUCAAUUUUAUCAUGUUUUUAAAUUUGUUAUGGUUAUAAUAUAUAAUAGAUAUAAAGAGAGGGAUUUAGGCCCACUUAAAAUCUAAAUCAUUGCGAAUACGAUACGGAGNNNNNNNNNNNNNNNNNUAUGGAAGAUUAUAGGUCUUGGAAACUUCUUGGUUAUUUAAUAGGUCUUUUGAAACAUUUAGUUCUGAAAAAAAUGAUAUACAAAUGAUUUUAAGAUUACAUGAUGUAUAGGCUAAGAGUCUUGAAAGCAAUACAGACAUUUUCAGUUUUUCAUAUUACAUCCAAUAGUUCAAUUUUUUGAUUUACAAUUUAAGUCAUAGAAUUUUGUAGUUGGUUUUCACACUUUGUAUGUAUCAUAGCUGUGCACCUUUAAGUUAAUAUCCUCAUCUCUAAUGUACUCAUUCGACUCUCUUUGGCUGUUAAAAAAGAGAGGACAAAGAAAAAUAUUUUAAACUUUUGAUAAUAAAAAAGGAAUUCAAAUAAAAGAAAAGCAAAUAGAUUUAAGAAUUUGUUUAAAAGAUUCUUCUCCAAAAAUAGUGAUUUUAGGCACGUCGGUGAAAACAAUUCAAAUGUAUCAUAAUAAAUUUUCUGAUAGCAGUUUCUAAAAUUUAGUUACUUUUUUGCUCAUCAUUUAUUUUUCUUCUCUUUCACUUUCAUUAGCAUGUAUAUAGUUAUUUUAUAAAAUUAUAUUUUUUCUUUUAAACGUAAAAUUUUUAUUCAUGUCUUCAAGAGAUGCAAAAGUUACACAAUACUUUUUCUUUCUUCAGCUGAACAACACUUACGCGGCAUCUUCUGUUCUAUUUCGAUGAUAAUUGCAUGAUACCUCAAAAAUCAUCGAUCUGUUCUAGAAAAGAAAUCAAAAAUCAUUGUCAUUCCAACGCACUUAAUUCGCUAUGAGAUGUGUAAUUGAAAGAUUAAGCUUAUAAAGUUGCGGAUUGUAUUGCAUUCUAUAUUAUUAGCCACUUGAGAGGUAUAUUUUGGAAGGGCUCUUUCGGAAUUUUUACUUUUUUGUGAUAUUUUUUUUACUGAUUUUGUUGGAUGUAUUCAUUUCGAGCAUAUAUGACUCAUCCAUCUCAUAAAAUAAAAAAAAUAAAGCUCUAAUUUAAGGAUUGUAUUAGUUGGGUAUUGUUAGCAAGAUUGAAAACGAGCUACAACCAAAAACAAUGCAUGCGGAUGUAUGAUCUACAUGCGAUGUGCUUAGUACUUGAUUUUUUUUUGCUGAGAGUUUUGCUUUUAAUAAGUUUCUAGCUAGUUUAUGAGGUGAACAUGAGAACCAGAGCAAUCCAUCUUUUUUACAGUGCAAAUUAGGUUGCAUUCUAUAGCACUUCCCCUUUAUCCUGUAGCAUGGUGGUGGGGACCAAGUAUCGGUCACUCACUUCCCACACCAAAGAGUCCCUUCUAGCUUCUUGGCGUUGGCUUAAACAAGGUGUGCCGCCUUGACCGAAUGUAGAUAGCGCCAGCCAAAGAAAAUUCCGCACUAAUGCUCCUUCCAAUUCCAAGUUAUACUUGGCUAAGAAUGAAGUAUUGCACUCCUCUUCGGAACCUUAAGCUUUGGUGGUUAAUGAAGACAACUCAAAUGAGAAUGCUGAGGUAUCAAAGGUAGCUUUGAUUCGAUGGUGAAAAGGAAAUACAAAUAUUCUAAGGAGGAAAGAUGGUCCCUUCCUCAGCCAAAUCCAAGGGGGUUGAUAUACCCUGCCUUGGCCCAAGUCCCUAAGGACCGAAUUAGGCAAUAUGCCUACCCAAGCCUCUUGGCCGAAUGCACUUUACAAGUGGCUAACUGAUACAAUGUCCAAAAGUCCCUUUCCCCACUCAAUUCAAAUCUAUUUGUAGACCCUUACAUUGGCAUGCAGUGGCUUCUCCUUUUGGCUGGCGGUUUGGAUCCUUUGGCAACUCCUUUGGAACUCCCACUGCAGUGGCUGCUGUCUUAAUCCGGUUGCCAUUUGGUUGCUAACGGUUUGCCCGGUGGUUCAAAGGAUUUCUGGUGGUUGGCUGGCUGUUGCUUGUCUUGGUGGCAGUUGCUUGCAGUUUCUUGCUGUUAUGGCAUUUGAUUGCAGUUGUGGUUGCUGGCGGUUCCUUGCAGUUGGCCAAGCUCUGGCUACUACAGAGGCCUUUGGUUGGUCGGUUUUGGCUGCUGACACUCCUCUGGGUUUGCCUCUGCAGAUGGCUGGUCAUGUGGCUAGGGCCUAGCGUGCUGGCCAAGCCCCUGUUGCGCGCGGUUUGGCGGACUGCGUGUGGGCAUGGGCAAGUCAUGGGCCGCCCUUGAUUUUCCACGCUUGACCCUUUGGUUAGGCCAGAUGGUUCCUGCUGUGGUUUGACCCUUUGGCCGCUUGGGCACUGACAGUCCGGCCGCUGGGCGCCUGGGCAUUGGUCGCCUGGCCGCUCGGUGGUCACCUCUUGCUCGCGCCCGCGCGCACACGGACCUAGCUUCCGCGUGCGCAGGCGGUUGCUUUCCGUUGCACAUGGCGUGUGUGCGCGUUGGUCUUGGGCGCCAAGGGCCCGUGCGCGUAGCUGGUUCACUGCGGUUGCCCCCUGCUCGCGCGUGCGCUGGUCUUUGGCGCGCGCCGGCAGUUGGCUCCCGUUGCUUAUGGCGGUUGCCCCUUGCUCGCGCGUGCGCUGGUCUUUGGCGCGCGCCGGCAGUUGCCUCCCGUUGCUUAUGGCGAUUGCCCCUUGCAUGCGCGUGCGCUGGCCUGAGCCGAGGAUGCCAUGGCUGUGCACACGCCGGUCCUCUUGUCGUUUGCCUGUGGCUGCGCGCGCGCAUUGGCCUGGAUCAAAGGCAUUCAGACCAUGCGGGCGCUGGAUAUUUGGUUUGGCCCUCCCGGUCACUCGGUUUGGCCUGCACAUGGCCCUCCUAACCAAAUGCCUGUUUCGAUUGCUGAGGCGCCCCAGCCGAUGGUCUGCGAUCUUGGGCGUGCCUCUGCCGUGCCUUGUCGAUGCUGCUAUUAGCCCAGCCUUUGCCUGCCAAGGCUGGCGGACCCUCGGUUGUGCCCCUAUAAAUGAGAGAUGGCCACUAGACGGACAUGAGCUUGGCUCUUGUUUUGCCUUGGCCUCCAUGAUUUGGUGAGGAGAUAUAGAAGGAACCUCACCACAUGGUAGGCAAUGAAUGUGAAGUGCUUCUUGGCUUUUUCUUUGCGCUCGAAUAAAAAUAUUAUGAACUUGAGACACGAUCAUACUCUCUUUUGCAGGUUACAAACAGCCUCUUUUGGCAGGUGUUAGGUUUAGAAUCUUUUAAUGAGGGGUUAGCUACAUUUCCAAGUGGAUGACCAUACUCCAACCUGAGCUCGCCAUCUUACCUGUGUAUCGACAAGUAUAUGCAUCUCAUUUUGCUUUACUAACGAGCCUAAGUGAGAGAAAUUUUUAUGAAAGCUGCUUGAAAGGAUAUGGGAAGCACCAAUCUUGUCAUCAUUGCCUCCAAGCCAUUUUUUAUUUACACUUAAUGCAGCUUGGCCCAACUUCCAUCACUUCUUUGCCUCAUUUUAUGCAUACAAGGGUGUCAUGGAUGGGACCGAUGGGUGGAAGCAUCCCAGCUAUAGAGUAGCCUAAUGUUUCAGAUGAUAUGCAGUGAAUUGCAUAUUGCUUACCAUCUGGCCCAUAUGGCUAGGCCUUCUUUGUAGAGAAAUUAUAUCCGGUGCACCAUGUCAGGGAUGCACCAUAGGAACAAUCCGACGCGAGGUGAGAGGGCGAAAUCCAAUACAAGCAGCACAAUGAUGGGGCUUACAGGAACGAAAAAUUUGAUUGGUGUAGUGCACCGCUGACAUGAUGCACCUUGCAUAGGGACUAAUUUCUUCUAUUCGAUUUCAGUUUCUUAUUAUAUAGUGGAAAUGCCUCACAAUAUUCAAUUUUACCUUUACGCUCAAGGAAAGAAAUGUUCUUGGUGGAUGCAGGACCUGGUACCCUCAAAAUUUGUAUGCAAGAUGAGCCUAUAGGAGUGCCAAUCAACCGAGCCACCAGGUUUGAAAAUAAGGUGGGAUCAUAAUUUUAUGGGAUCGUGAGUUGCACCAUGACCUACCAUCCAGAUUAAUUUCGAGUAAAUCUUUCAAUAUCUAGUCCUCGAUCUCAUAGUGGUCGAGUUUUGCCCUUCAGGGAGUUUUCCAUAACUCUCCUGCUCUGCCUGCCCCCAUCCACCAAGUCAUCUAGGUCAGCUGCAAUGCAAUAGUUGUCCAUAUUCAUGCAUGGAUUAGUUGGCUUUGUAGAAUUUUGUUUUGCUCCCCAUGGUUGGUAGCACCUGUAUGACCUUGGUAUUUUCAUUGUUCUUUUCGUUUUGCUUAAUACUAUAUAUAUCUAGGUUGUGUUUCUAUCUUACUUAUACUAUAUCAAUAAUACAAUGAGCUUAGUCGCUUUCGCACCAAAAAACAAAAACAAAAAGAAAAGAAAAGAAAACCUCAUAGGGGUUUAGUAAACCCAUAGGUCUACCUCUGUUGAGUUUAUUGGGUUUGGCCAAGUUAGAGAUUUCAGAAUAGCUGGUGCCAUUGAGCCAUUCAGCCAUUGAGGGACCUACAUGAUCUUUGUGCUGGUGCCAAACCAACUCAUGACUGGAGCUUGAUAGGUGUGAGAAAGGGUCUUUAGCACCAAAGGCACUCCGGAGGACCAAGGUACAAAACCAGGGGACAACAAGUUAAACUGCACAAACGAUGAAUGGCGAGGAGAAAAUUGGUUCUCCUCGUCAUCAUUUUUCCUUGAAAAGAAAAGGAGAAACAUGGAGCUCAAGAUUCAUGCAUGUUUUUGUCCAGUGAGGACUGCUUUAGUUUUUCCAUGGAAAGCUCAUGUAUGUGGUGUGCAUGAAUGUUGAUCUUUUCUUGACUGUUUGAAAAAAAUGAUCCUUUUACUGAAUUUUAUAAAUCAAUUCUGAUGAAGCAGCAUCAUUUUGAGAAAUGACUAGGAAUUUUUGAUUGGGUUUCUUUUACACGCACUACAAAAAAAAUCAGACAUUGCCGAUGCUUUUUAAUAUAUAUACCAACGUUUAUAAGCAUCAUCUUAAUCUCUUGACUUCCGACGACGUUUAUAAGCAUCGUCUUAGUUUAAUUUCUGACGAUGCUACUAAAAAGCGUCGGUAAAUUUUAGCGCGGUGACUAAAUUGCCAAUACUUUUUUCUAGCAUCGGCAGAUCACAGUCGGAGAAAGCUAUUUUUUCUAUAGUAACAUAUCAAUCUUCGGUUUUAUGAAUGAAAAAUCUUUUAAAUAUCUGAGUUGUCACUUGCUGACAUAAUUCCCUAUAGUGGAUGUAGUUUACAAGGUAAGGAGUUCCAUAAAAAAACGGGGAGUGGUUACAAAUAGGUGACCCAGAUCAAUAAGACAAAACCGAGAGAUGCUAUUUUGUGCUCUUCACCUUUGUAAGGCCACUCGAAUCCCAAUUUUUUCUCCUCCUAUCCCUAUCGUUUGCUCUUAUUUUAUGCAAAAUCAUCAUAGGGAUUGUGUUUCAAUGUGCUCUUUGACUUGGACUUUAUGUUUUAAAAGUGAAAGUGGUUAUAUAAAACAUUAUUGUUUUCCCCUCUAUAUUUCCAACUUUUUCUAAGGGAAUCUUGAACUGUUGCUCCUUUAAUAGAUUAUUAGCUUAAAACACUUGAGUUAUAAGGUAGUCUUCAACUUUGAUGAUAAGAACAAUCUCAUAUGGACUGAAACUUGUAGCUGACUACGCUCAUUAGAAGAAGUCUACAUGCAGGAUUAAAGAUCAUAGCCAUAGCUUAAGGGCAACGCACUCUGAUAACAUUAAGUAAUAACAACUAGGGAAUUACUUUAUCGGCGCAUAUUAUCCUAAUGCCAGUCUUGAAAUUAUAACUCUUAUGACCACAAUUGAACUUGUAACAUUUUUAUGACGCAGAGGGUAGAUAAUGCAUCAACCACAGGAUAUAGUUUCUGAUUGCAGAGAAACAAAUUCUAGGAUGACAAUUUGCUGAAUGGAACCAAAGCUAGCCAUACCAAUGUUCAUGCCAUAUUCAUAGGACUAACAAUUAAGUAGACACCUUUCCCCCUCAAAAAAAAGAAGUAAGUAGACACAACUCAUGAACAAUAUACAUGCCCUAAACGCAGAGCAGACAAGGAUAAGUGGACAAGUAAUCAAACCUACAAGUUCAGUGCAAUUCUAGAGUUAGGAAUUGAUGGGCUUGCCUUUCCUUUUCUCUCAGAAGAAUAAAAUAAAUGCAAUUCUAAAGUGAUCAUCCAUGAUCCAGAUGGCUAAAAGGUUAUAUGUAGCAAACAACAAUUUUUCUUAACUGCAAAUGAUGUAUCUAGCAAGUAUUAACAACUAGGAAGAGGAAAUAAAUGAAUGUAUUGAAUGCUAAUUCAAAACAAAUGUAUGACUUCCAAACCAAUUCACAUCAAAAGAAAAAAAAAGACUUCCAAACCUAAUUCACAGUUGCUAGCUAUUUUCCUUUACCAUAUGUCAAAUACAAAAAAUGUUGUUCUAAGUCAACUAGCAGUAGCUUAGCUCAUUGGCAUCCCUCUCCAAAAAUAAAAUAAAAUAAAAAUAAAAAUAACAAUAAAUAUAAAAAUUCAAUUCUUUAUAUAGGCUUCAUAUUGAAAUAAUCUUGCUUUCUCUUGGCAAACACCGCAUAUAGAAUUAUACGCCUUCAGAAGCAUAUGCUUUGGUGAAGUACUAAUAUUAGAAGAUUUAAUCCCAAAUCCAUCAGCAAAUAUGAACAACAUAAAAAAAUAUUAUAUCUUCUUGAAUGACUUGCUCCAAAAAGCUUCGACAUGAUAGUGUAAGUUUAGCAUCCUUAACCCCCUUCUUUUUUAUAUAAUCAAAGAAUAUUGAUGGCUAGAUAAUUGGCAUUCUUGAAGCCUAAUAAAUUGAGCCAUACUCGAAGAGAUUUGCAAAACUAGUAUAGAUAAACUUUUUUUUAGUUGGAUCGGUUUGUUUACAAAAUUCUUGAAUAAAUACAUCCACUUGCAUCAGCGACAAAAAAGUUACAAAAAUUUUCCGAUAGGGCAAAAGCAGUUUCCCAGGUCUCUAAGCCAGUAUGAUCGAUUUGUCAUGUAGAAAGCUAUCCAGUCUGCAGCUCUAUAGCCUUCCUAAAGACAUGCUUAACAAUAUAUGAAGUCAUACUCGACUUGGGCCUCCAAAUAUCCGUCAUGAGGGGAUGAGUGGACCUUUGAUCCCGAGCUGCUGAGGUGAUACAGUUUAUAACUAUCAUUACUCGAAGUAGAUGAUGAAGAUGCUAAUUGGCUUGGUGUUGUGAAUUCUCCAAGACCUUCCCCUACCUUCUUUGCCUCAUCUCCUUUAUGUUCCUCACAUGCAAUGCCAAGGCUGGUGGAGUCAUCAAGUACUCCUCUUCCUUCUUCCUUACUGCCUCGAAGCCUAAGAUUCAAGCACUCCGAUAUACCACUGAUAGCAUAGAGAGACGCAGAGAUCCUCCUCUCAUAUUUCAUCCUCUUCAUUGGAGAUGCAAACAUCCACUUCUCAUCUCCGGCGCCACUCACCUGUUCGAUUGGCUCCAUGAUCUCCUCCACAACCUCAAAUGGCGAGUAGAGGCAAGAAGACCCCUCCAAGGAAUCCACGAAUCGGAAAUCCAUAGCUUCCAAAUCUCCCAUUCCUCCCUCCUCUCCUACUCCACCCUCCUCACCUACUACCUUGGUACCAACUUGACCCACCAUCACUAUAUUCUGGUCCAAUUCCCUCCCCCCUUGCUCUUCCUCCCUGGUGCAAUUAGAUUGCACACUCUUGCAUACAUCAUCAUGAAACCUGGUAUCAUUUGUAAGAAUAGAAUCUGAUACGUUUGGAUCAUCCAAGAAGUCGGCGAAUUGGAAGUCAUCGAUAUCAUCUAGUCCUUCAUCGCCACACUGCUCCUGCUGCUGUGGUAGCUGCUGGUUUUCAGGCAAUGGAACAGUAGCACCGUCAGCAGCAAGAGAGUUACUGGCUUUGAGCCUCGCGAGGAGGAGGCCGUAAACCUUGGAUGGCAGGGCCGGCGGCAAGCGGUGCGACACCGGAGAGCAUGGCCAGAAGUUGGUACGAGUGCUGGCCCCCCGAAGCAGGCAGGCAGCCUCAUCGUAGGCCCGAGCGGCAUCCUCGGCCGUAUCGAACGUACCAAGCCACACCCUUAUCUUCUGGACUGUGUCCUUGAUCUCUGCCACCCACCGUCCUGAAGGCCGCUGUCGUACCCCAACAAAGCGCUUCUGGGGACGGCGAGCACCCCCAGAGGCAGCCGCUUCCAUCGCAGCCUCAUCCCAGCUGCUGGUCUUGGCCUCUACCGCUACAAGGCCUCUUCUCUUCCUCACCAUCUUCUACUCUCAUCUACCUGCUUGAAUUCCUUCACUUGCAUCACCAAGAACCUAUUGGGGGAUGAUGCUAUGCUCAGGUCAUUGCACCACAAAGUGCAUUUGUAGUCGUAUAUAUGAACGGUUGACGGUGAUAUAUGGACAAAUGAAAGAAAUGGAGCAACGAAGACUUUGCUGCUUGGUCCCAUCUCUGUUGUUUCCUUGGGUUUUUGGCUGAAAGAGAGGGGGAGGGAGGGAGAGAGAGAGUCUUGUUGCGUGGUGCCUCUUUAUUUAUUUGGUUUUGAAUGGGCGGGUUUGCCCCGGUCUUCAUGUCGACAAGUUGUUCCGUCUUAUCGGCCUCAUGAUCUAUAUUAGUGCUUAGCCUGCUUUUGUCCAAGGCAAUGUAGUUGUCUCGCAUGCAUAUCAUUUGUGGUGAAUAAAUUUUUGGGUUUGUUUGGUUUGCGGAAAUUAUUUUUUCUUUUAGAAAUAUGAUUUCUGCAAAGUAGAUUUUUAGAAAGAGAAUAAUUGAGAAAGUACUUUUGGCAUGUUUGAUUGAUAAUGGAAAACUGACAGAUUUUCAGAAUAAAUUUAUUAAAAUGAUAGUAAAAAAAUAUUUCCCAAAUUGUUCUAGAUUUUCCUUAGGGUGAGUCUACUCUAAAUUAAUCUAAUGUAAUUGAAUGAAACAAGAAUCAAUUAACAAUUCACAAAGCUUGGAAUUUAUUCAUGACUUAUUCACAACUAAAAGAAUCAUUUAGGAGUUACCAAUCAAAUACUAAGAUUGCUAUAAUAAUGGUGUUUUCGCUAUUACUUGUAAUUGAUUCCUUCCAUGCUUUGAAAAUUUUACAAAAUCAAGGAAAAGUUUUAAUAACCCGCAUUCGUUUAGAAUUUUUUAGCAAAUUCUCUAUAUAUUUUUUUCCUUCCAAAUUCCCAUCUUUGCCUUUUGUUGAAAUGCUCAGAAAAAGCCAAACUUGCGACCAUGUUAGUGGUGGAAAUAAAGUAUUAUUACAAAUCUUCUGCACAAUUUUCUUCAAAAAAAAAAAAAAAACAUGAAUCACACCUUUUUUAUUGGCAUCAAACUGUGUCAGUAAAAUAUUAAAUAUCAAAAAUUCACAAAAAUAAAUAAUAACAUAAAUCAGAGAAAUUUGUUUUUGCACUUGUACUAGAUAGAAAUGAGUUGUGGAUGGGUAGAGCUAGUUAUAUUAGACAGGAAUAAUUCUGUGUUUCUCUUGCAGAUGACUAUCGUUUUGAGGUCGGGAGAGAAAAACUCGGCCAAGGCGGCGGCGAUCAGAUGGAUUUACAUUGAGUUAUCAGUUUGCUAUUGUCAUUGUUGAAGAGUGAUAGAAACAAUGGUUUCUUCAGAGUCUCACCAUGUUCCUUGGAUAAUCCACUAGAGCUAAAAGAUAACAACAUGGUGACUAAACACAAUCUAAUAUUCUACACACAUCCUCUUCUAAGACUCGACCACAAAGGCAAGCUGUCUGAUGAUGAAGAGGAACAGCAUUUUCCUGGACUCAUCUGAUCAGUGUUUAUUCCCAGGUGAAAGAGAUUGGAGAAACAAGAUUGCAUGCAGCUGCAGCAAUUGGGAAACAGCAUAAAUUAACAUACAGAUACAAAAUUACAGAUUAUGUCAUUGUUUGAGAACUCUGAUGCAUGAGAUGGACCCAAACCCAUCAAACAACUAUAUCCUAACCUGGUACUGCUGAUCUAUAUUCUUCAGACAUGAUGAUGCAACCGGAUCCGAAAUUUACCUAGCCAAAGGAAUCUUAAAAAACCAAGCCAUCUUGGUUAGACCCAAAUUUAUGGAACAAUCCAGGCUCAGCCUUAAAUUUAGGCCUAAGUUGAAAUGAACUGACAUUAGGCUUUUUCCCCCUUUUAUUUUCUAUUAUUUCAGUCGCAAAUGUGUGCACAACAAGAGCAGAAGAGCUAGUUAUAAGUACAUGAGGACCAUUCAUCACCCUUGAGCUACACUGCAAGCAAAACCACAUCAAAAAAAGAAAAACCAAGGAAUGCAAGCAGGACCUAAAACCAAGUCAUGCUGGGUUGGUUCGAGCAAGAUCCAGACUAACCUACAUAAUUGCACCCUAGUCGGCACUUUCAGACAAUGGUAAUUAGGAAUUUAUGAUAAUGUUCAUGAAUUGAGGAUCCAUCUUUCCAAACAAAAAAUGGUGAUGAUAUUGAUACGAUAGGGUUUUGUGGGGCACAAUACCUCGGUUAAGCAGUUUAUACUUAAUUUAUACGGAAUAGAAGAGUAGAUUAUAGUUUAUAAGGCACAGAGGAGAAGUAGAAAUGGCUGUGGGAGUAGGGACCAUGUGGUGGUCCAAAAACAAAAAAGAGGCCAGUGGUAAAGCCGACGAGGCUUGCCUUUUUUUGUGUCUGUUUGUGGCUCUUCCCUUCUCGAAAAUGCCAAACCCCUAGGAGAGAUUUAUUAAAGAAAUAGUGCCUAGUUGCUAGUGUUUUGAAAGUGAGAGUGAGAGUGAGAGAGAGAGAGAGAGAGAGAUGCCAAGAGAAGCAACAGUUGGGAAUCAAUAUAAAAGAAAGAUUAUAUUGUUUUGAUCAGACUUCAAUCAAAAGAGAAAUAUUAAAAGGAGAAUAUGGAUCUUUGUAUGUAUGAAGAGAUGGGAGGGAGAUGCAUUGUGACUUGUGAGUGAUGCUAUUAUCAAUGCCUAGCUUAACCAUUGGGACCAAAAGGAGCAAACAAGAAGAGCAUCUUCGCAUAAGACCUCCAUUUGGCACCAUUAAAGUUGUCCAAGUACCUCUGAAAGGCCGUAAAGCUAAGUCUUUUCCCCUUAUACCAACCAAAGCCAAAGAAAAAGUUGAAUGGUUUAUUAUGAAGUUUAAACUCAGAAAAUAGGCAUACUGUAAAAAAAAAAAGUAAGAGCUUUUGGAUUAGGAUAGAAAAGAAACAAUUUGAAACAUAAAUAUUUUAAAAUAAAUAUUAGCUUCUGUGCCUUCUAACACAAUAACAAUCUGCACCGGCCGCAUGACGAUCAAAAGAAAUAGCAGCUCAAAAAUAGAGCUGAAUCUGUAAUACAAAAGUAAUCGAUGAAAAUGAUGUGCAAGAUGAUUGGCAAUUUCAUUAUCCAAGGAACAGGGUCAAAUAUUUCAGCCAUAAAAAACCUGAGAAUAACCAAGGAAUGUUCUGGACACCUGCAAAUUAAAUUAGCCAACAAGCCUGCCUCCACAUGGAGACCUGAGGAUAGUUCAUUUUCAUUAGGACAAAUAGUCAAAUGUAUCAGAAAUAUAAAAAGUUCUCUUUUUUUCAUCCAAAGUCAAAUAGGUUAGGUGGAGGUGGGAAGGAGAGAUGGCAAUCACUGGUUUUAUUCAGUAUGAUAGAAGAAAGACAUAUGGCAAAGUAGGUGUUUGAUUGAUGACAAACUACAUCCUUUUUUUUGACCCCUUCAAGACCAGCAUAUCCACUUCAGCAGGCUUGGAAGUGGAAAAACUGCUGGGAAGUGGAAAGGUUGCUUUAGGUGGUGUCUCCACUUGGCAAGCUCUGAGAACUAUGCCUUCAUUGAAAUGGUUGAAUUCAUGGAUACACUGAACCAUCUGAUCUCCCAUAACCUCACUGAAAUUAGUAUUCACAACUGUGUUGUAGUCUUACAAACCAGCGAGACAUGUUCGACAAAAUCAAAAGGUCUCCUGCCCUCUAGGAGCCACCUAUGUGCAUGCCAAUCUAGGGCAUCUUCGAACUCUUUUGCCCAAAAUAAUACAACACAUGAAUUCAUGGGCGCUAUUAUCGCUGAAAAAAGGGUCUUUAACUCUUCUUUUUGCAUGCCCAUGUCGGAAUGUGGCAAAGACCAAAUAAGUGGACUAGGGCUAGCUGCAUUGUGCUAUGACAUGGAUAAUAACCUUACAUAAGCUGUGCUAAUUCUUCAACAAUAUCUUCUCUUGAAUCUUUUCAUGAUCAUGUAUCACUCCUUAGAAAUAACCUUCUUAUAAUAUAAUGCAUACAACAGUUUACAUAAAAACGUGUGCCUUAUAUAGGUUUAAUCUCCCAUCAAAAUAUUCGUUUGAAAGAUUUUACUCUCUUGUCUGCAUUCAAUGUCUCCAACAUGGUUGACUUCCACUUCACCAUUCCAUAAACCUUCAAUUAAUAUUGUAACAGACUAAACCUUCCAAUGACUUCCCUAUAUCCUGCUGUAAAUAUCACUUCCCAAAUAAUGGUUAAAGGAGCCACUAGAGCACCAAGUAGCCUUCUUAAGAUCCACACAUCUAAAACGAUAAAGUCAUAAGCCCUUGCUGACUCAAAAAUUAUGCCUCUUAUCAGUAUAUUUUCCCACAAAAUCAUGCCUUCUAGAAAGCUUAGCAUACCCAUCAACAUACUGCGCCAAACAUCGAUGAGUCCACUUGAGCCUUGGCCUAUAAAUAUAUUUCUUCCCUCUAUUCUCACAUAACAGUUGGGUGAUUAAAGGCAUUAUGCCUCCAAUAAAUCCUAAUUAUAGAAAAAUACUCCUCCCUCACUAUGGACUCGUUAUUCUUUUGUUCUUAUCAAUAGGUGCUUCAGUCAGCAGGUUAGCACCUCUCUCCUCACUCCUCAGCACUUGCACCAAGGAGAGGUUCUGAUGCAAAUUAGAAAGUGACAGUCCCAGAGUAAUUCUCAACAAAAGAUUAAAAAAAAUAAUCUUGUUUUCGCCUAAUCAUCUGUCCUAUCUCUUGCAUCCAUCUGCAUGAAGAAGUGCAAAAAAAAAUAUAGUCAAGUUUUUAUUUGCAACUUUAUACAUUUUAUUUUUUCCAAGAAUGACUUUUUCACUGCUAGGAUACUUGCCCCUUCCAUGCUGACAGAGUUCUAUAAUAGAGGAUGCAUAAGUUUUGAAGGUCAAUUGCAUAAAUCUGCAAACAACACAUGCUUAAAAGUUUAGACCAAUUUUUGAUUGGGACUGCACAAGUUUUAAAUUCUGUUUGCACAAAAUUUGAGAAAAGUUACAGAAUUUUUUCAACUACUAAACCAAGAGAAUGCGCAGGCAUGCCAGCAUGGAAGGGGCCAAGAGCAUUCUAAUUCCAUUCCUGAAAAAAGGGAAAAAGGGCUUAGCAGGUUACAGAUAGCAAAACUAACUAUAAUUUUUUCUGCGAAAUCCCAAGUGACAUACAAAUUUUUGCUUUUUACCUGUUAAGGUAUUGUUAUCUGAAUUUAAUAACCAUAAGACUAAUCUUUUUAGAAGCUUCCAACGUGGUAGUAUGCAAAUGAUAACAAGACGAGAAAUUAUUAUUAGUUCAGUAGCGAGAUUACAAGCACAAGGACAUGAAAAAGUUUUUUAUAUUACUUCUUGCCAGCCUGGUACUAUGAUUGAAACACGUAUAGCAAUAAAAUAAAGUACUCAUAUAGACAUCAUAGAUUCCAUAUUCAAUAUUGCUACAAGUACUUAUAUAGACAUCAUGAGAUUCUGUAUUCCAUACGGUUACAUGGAAUGACAGCAUCCAACCAAAACUUCUAUCAUUCUGAGAUUGAAUGGAAUUAGAGAAUAUAUACAUCAAAAAAAUUAAAAGAAUGAGCUUAAGCAUAUGUAUGAUUGUACAGUGCCAAAACUAACGCAGCCAUAUCCUUGUAUUUGAACUUGACAGACAUGUUCUUCAGAUUUUAGAAGAAAGAAAAAAAAUGAAUAACAAAAAAACAAGCUUAAGCAUUUAUAUAUGAACCUGUGAUCAUGAAAUACUACAGUUAGCUGAACAUUUUGUUAUUGGACUUGACAGCCUUCUUCUGCAGCUCUCAGAAAGGUGAGCCCACGUGAUAUCCUCUGCAGAUGAUCAAGUAAACAAGAAGAUAAGUCAUCAUACAUUGACAGACAGUGACAUGAGCAGGAAUAUAUCCUUAAACCACACCUCUCGAGUGUCUCUCAAACGCAAUAGUUCCAACCUUGCUGAUGGCCUUAAGUUUAACAAGUUAACAAGCUGCCCAGACAUGAGAGUCAAACAUAUGGCACAAUUAUAUAACAUACACCAAAGCAGGGUUACAAGAAAUACCCAGAAACUAAAUCGCUCUGGAUCCUGUGGUCCAGGCAUGCCUUCAGCUUCAGGAUGCUCCAUUUGCCUUGACCUCCUUCCUGGAUAUAAUUCAUGGUUGUAACUUAUGGUGCAUAGACAAGCUUAUUUUUCAGCACAAUUACAUAGCGGAAUACCAAUAAAGAAGGAACCACAUAAAACUAGCAUGCAAGGUCGGACAUUUAUGAGUCACUGAACCAGACAAAGGUCUUUAAUUGGAAAUGAACUUUAACCCAUGCAACUUUAGACCGCUGCCGUUUGGUUCGUUGUUGAUCCUGUGGUCUAAAUUUUUGCACAUUGUCAGGUAGUUAAUAGAAUGAAUCAAGGCUUUACUUCCAAACAAAUAUGAGAGUGAGUUUGUGUGUGUGUGUGAAUCUGAUCGUUUGUAGCUGAAGCAGAUUCCAGGACUUCACAGCACAACAACAUGUGCAUCUUGUAUCCUAACAAACGCAUACGCGAUUACGCACCAUUUCGUGCAGUAUUUCUUGCAUGCCUGAUCCACAUUCUAGCCUGUGAUGCUGCUCCACUAGCCAUUUGCUGCAACUGUUGAGAAUUCAACACAAAACACUCAUCAAUAUGAUGUAUUUUUCUUAAUUGAAAUAGUUUGGUAUCAGGAAAAUGAUAUAGUCAUAAAAAGCAUGCAAUGUUAUGACAUUUUUUGAGUGAUCCUGGAAGUUCCAUAAACUAGUGAUCAUGUAAAUUGCAACUGUGAGUGACAAUAAUCUAUCACCAAGCUGACAAGCCAACAUCAAGUCAUGGUUAGUAUGUCAUGUCACCUGUAAGAUAAAGUACAAAUCUUUCUUCCAUGCAUAACCAUUAACUGUUUGAAGUUGGAUUUUAUUUAGUUCACAGGUUGAGCUAAAUAGAGAAUGUUUCUUUCCAUUCCUCGUGAGCCACUUAUUUCUCCGAAACAAGAGAUCAAAGUGAUUUUCCUCCUUUUUCCCAAAUAGUCGACGGUCUUACACCAUUGGGAUACUUCGAAUAAACUGGAGUACAUAUAGGAAACACCGGUGCGAAAACCUUUUCUCGAGAUAUCUUCCAAAGUCUUAGGAUCGUUGCUCCCGAUCUUGG